Molecule: long non-coding RNA, 83270 nt
Filed under: Capsicum annuum
Lineage: Eukaryota; Viridiplantae; Streptophyta; Magnoliopsida; Solanales; Solanaceae
Description: long non-coding RNA (CANN_LNC002911)
Source: RNAcentral
UUCAUGAUUAGCUUCCACCCUUAACAUACAUUUUGUAUCAUCAUUUACUACUCAGCCCAGUCUGAAAGAGUUAAGCCAUAACCUACCUCGAAAACCAAAAUCGGUCUGCUACACUUUGAACCCACGACCUUACUUUUCACGAACAAUAUUGAGCUCUACUUAAAACAAUAAAUAUGAAAUCUACGCGUCAAAAUAAAACCAAAGACACCUAUAUUGACUACUUUUGGUUCGGGAUCAAAACGGACCCCUGGAACGAAUUUUCGAAAAAGAAGGGCAAACUCAAAAUUUUACUUUAAAAACUUGUUUUUUCAUAUUUUUAGGAACCUACAGCUGAAAACUCAAGUUAAAUCGAGUAAAAGACAAGGUUCAAAUUGAAGAAAAACUAUUUUUGAGGUUUACUGGGUAAAUUCUUUGAAAUCUGGGUUGAAAUGAAGAAUCGAAGUUGUUUUGAAGGUUAAAUUGAUAAAAAAUUAGUAAUUAUAAGAUAAAAACAUUAUUCAAGUGAAAAGGAGUGAAAUUGAGGUUUAAAAUCAAGCCCCAAAAUUUUUGGGGUUUUGAGAAAUUAAUCAAGAAAUUACUAAGAAAAGGGUAAAUUCUUACCUUAAAUCCGUAAUAAAACCAAGAAAUGGGUGUUAAUUUAGCUUCCCAAGCUCUUACAAACUCUACUUUUAAUCUCUCACACUAUUUUAGGGUUUAACUCUCAAGAGCCAAGAUGAGAAUGAGAAAAUGGGUCAAAACGGCUGAAAAAAAACUGUUAUAUAGCAGAAAAUCUGCUACAAUAGUGAAGAUUUUUCUUUUCCAAGUCCAAACAAACUUCGAUGGGGAGCCCGGGAUUCGUUUGGAGUACGAUAUACACAAACGAACUAUGCAACCAUACUAAAUUUGAUGUUUCGUCCACGAUGGUGAUAUCAGAUUUUCAAAAAAAUAUCAUUUUCACAAAGUUGUUCCCCGAAAUUCAAAAUCACAAUUUUCCAAACUGAGGGUCGAAAUGAGAUUUAAAAGUCGUAAAAUCAUACCAAAUAUGCUAACACCCUAAAAUCAACAUUCCGGAUCUGCUGGUGAAGUCAAAUUUUCCAUUCGAGGUCAUUUCAAUCAAAUGUGGGUCCCACACCCAUAUUUUUAAUUUUUCAACUUUUCGACUAAUAGGUCGAAAUGAGCUCAGGUGCACUGGGACCGAACCAAAGGUCUACCUAGACUAAAAUCGAUAUUCCGAAGCUGGUAGCACAGUCCGUUCGUCUAUCCAUCGCACGGAUCAAAAGAUAUCUAUAUAAGUCCAAAAUAUGACUCUCGAAGCUAUCAAAAACCACAAUAUUGCAUAAAUGAUACCAAAAUGCAUCGAAAAUCUUGUCAAUCACUCCCACACUCUAGAAAUACCAUAAUGCAGCUAUGGAGAGGGUUAAAACAGUCAAAUCACACAAAAUUACAAAUUUCACACAUUUCAUCAAAUUUUUAAGUCGUUAAAUCAUCCACCACUAAAAAUCUAGUUCAUUCUCGAACUAAGGCAAAGAAAUACCUGAAUCAAUGAAGAGCUUAUGAUAAGAACUACAUAAAUCAGACUCGACCUCCCAAGUAGCUUCAUCUACAGGUCGAUGUCACCACUGGACCUUAACCACAAGGAUCACUCUAGAGCAUAACCGCCUAACAUCUCUAGCCAAAAUGGAGAUCGUCUCCUCAAAAAAUGACAAUUGCUCAUCUAGCUGAACUGACUCCCAACGAAUAAUAUGAGACUUAUCCGAAUAUAGCGACGAAGCAUAGAAACAUGAAAAACUGGAUAAACAGCUGAUAGAUCAGGGGGCAAAGACAACUCAUAAGCCACAUCACCAAUAGUCCGAAGAAUCUCAAAUGGACCAAUAUACUUGGGGCAAAGCUUGCCCUUCUUCCCAAACCUCAUCACACCCUUCAUAGGUGAAACUUAAAGGAAAACAUGAUAACCAACACCAAAUAUCAAGGCAUAAAGUCUACGAUCAGCAUAACACUUCUGCCUACUCUGAGCCACUCUAAGUCUAUCCUGAAUGACCUGGACUCUAUCUAAAGACUCACGAAGCAAGUCCGUACCUUGAGGUAUCACCUCUGAAGCAUCGAACCAGCCUACUAGGGAGCAACAACGCCUACCAUACAACGCCUCAAAAGGAGCCAUAUCAAUACUAGAAUGGUAGCUAUUAUUAUAUACAAACUCUGCUAAAGCCAAAUGCUGCUCCCAUUGGCCACCAAAAUCCAUCACACAUGUGUGAAACAUAUCCAAAACUUGGAUAGUUCGCUCUGACUGACCAUCAGUCUGGGGGUAAAAUAUUAUGCUAAGAUCAGCCCGAGUACCCAACUCUUCUUGAAAAGUCUUCUAAAAGUGAAAUGUGAACACAUAACCUCGAUCUGAAAUAAUGGACAGCAACAUACUAUGUAGAUGCAUAAUCUCACGAAUAUAGAUACGGGCCAACCUCUCAGCACUGAAUGAGACUUGAACCAAAAUAAAAUAAGCUGACUUGGUCAAUCGAUCCACGAUGACCCAAACACUGUCAGAGCCAUGAGAUAUACGAGGCAAACUAGUCAAAAAGUCCAUAAUGAUCCAUUCCCACUUCCACUCAGGAAUGGGUAACCUAGAAAGGAAUCCACCAGGUCUUAUAUAUUCGGCCUUCACCUACUGACAACAUAGGUAACGAGCCACAAAAUCUGCUAUAUAUCGCCUUAUACCACCCCACCAGAAGUGUUGUCUCAAAUUAUGAUACAUCUUAGUCACACUUGGAUGAAUAUAAUAUCUUGAAUAAUAGGUCUCCUACAAGAUCAACCUGUUCCAAUCACCCAUUCUUAGUACAAAAACUCGGCCUCCAAUCUGCAAAUCUCUAUCUAAAUCAAGUGAGGCUUUCUUAGCCUCCUUACUUAACACCUAAUCUCGAAUCAAUCUUAAUCCAACAUUAUCAAAUUAAUGAGCUCGAAUCUGCCCCAUCAAAGAAGAUCUAGCAUCCAAAAAUGCCAAAACACGCCCCGAUGUCAAAAUAUCAAGCCUAGCCAUCUGGUUAGCCAAAAACUGAACCUCUAAGUCCAAAGGCCUCUCCUAGGUCAAAAUAUACGCCAAGCUACCCAUGCUAGUCGACUUCCGGCUCAAGUCAUCUGCAACUACAUUAGGCUUACCCAAAUGAUAGAGAAUAGUCAAGUCAUAAUCCUUAAGUAACUUAAUCCAAUGAUGCUGCUUCAUAUUAAGAUCUCGCUGGGUGAAGAAGUACUAAAGGCUAUGAUGAUAUGAGAAGAUCUCACAAAAGACUCCACACAAGUAGUGCCUCCACAACUUUAAGGCAAACACUACUGCGCACAACUCCAAAUCAUGGGUAGGAUAAUUUCUCUCAUGAGGUUUCAACUGACGAGAUGUAUACAUAAUUACCUUUCCCUCUCGCAUCAACAUAGCACCUAAUCCAACACCUGAAGCACCACAAAAGAUGGUAAAGACUACGCCCUCUUUGGGCAAAGACAAUAUAGGAGCUGAAGUCAACAAAUCCUUAAGCUUCUGAAAGCUCGUCUCACAAGCAUCGGACCACUGAAAAGAAAUCUUCUUCUGGGUCAACUUAGUCAAUAGAGCUUCAAUGGAUGAAAAACCCACAACAAAACACCGAUAACAACCUACCAAACCAAUAAAACUUUGAAUCUCGGUGGGCGAAGUAGGUCUAGCCCAAUCAUGAACUGCUGCAACCUUGGUUGGAUCAACCAUAAUACCUUCCUUAGUCACCACAUGAUUCAACAAAAAAACUAGACUCCAACCAAAACUUACACUUAGAGAACUUCGCAUAUAACUUCUUAUCACUCAAUCUCUGAAGCACAAUACACAAAUGCUUCUCAUGCUCAACCUCACUCUUGGAAUACACCAAGAUAUCAUCUAUAAAUAUAAUAACAAAGGAGUUAAGAUACUGUCGAAAUACCCGAUUCAUCAACUCCAUAAAUGCGGCAGGGGCAUUGGUCAACCCAAAGGACAUGGCCAAGAACUCAUAAUGACCAUAUCGAGUACGAAAAACUAUUUUUGGAAUAUCCAAAGCUCUAAUCCACCUCAAAUAAAUCUUCGAAAACACCAUAGCAAUCUAAAGCUAAUCAAACAAAUCAUCGAUGCGAGAAAGAGAAUACUUAUUCUUAACUGUCACCUUAUUUAACUAUUGAUAAUUAAUACACAUUCACAUAGACUUAUCCUUUUUCUUCACAAACAAGUUAGGCGCACCCCAAGGUAAAACACUAGGUUGGAUAAAUCCCUUAUCCAACAACUCCUGCAAAAGAUCUUUCAGUUUUUUUAAUUUUGCUGGGGCCAUCCUAUAAGGAGGAAUAGAAAUGGCCUUGGUGCCUGCUCAACAUCAAUAGUGAAAUCAAUAUCUCGAUUCGAAGGCAUACCAGAUAAGUUCGUAGGGAAUACAUCCAUAAACUCAUGAACAACACGAACGAACUCUAACGAAGGAGGAAAAACAACACUGGUGUUAUUAAUAUGGGCCAAGUAAGAUAAAUAUCCCCUCUCAAUUAAUUUACGAGCCUGAACAUAAGAUAUAAUCCUCUUAGGACCUGAAUGAAGUGUACCAUUCUAAGCUAUCCUUGGCAUACCUGAUGAAGCUAAAGUUACAGUCUUAGCAAAAUAAUCUAAGACAGCAUGAUAAAGAGCCAACCAAUCCAUGCCUAAAAUAACAUCAAAAUCAACCAUAUCUAGCUCAAACAAGUCUACCGAAGUCUCACUCCCUGUAAAAGUCACAACACAAGAUCGGUACUCUCGAUCCUCUACUAAAGAAUUACCAAUCGGGGUAGAUACAGAAUAGGCAUGGCAAGAGGCUCACUAAUAGAAUCAAAAUCCAAAGCAAAAUAUACAGACACAUAGGAUAAAGUCCAUCAGGGAUCAAAUAAUACAGAUGCAGAUUUGAAAUAAAUUGGGAUGAUACGUGUAAUAAAAGCAUCAAAAACCAUUGCCUCAGGUCUGGCUGGUAUAGCACAACACUAUCCACGACUACCAAUUAGCUGAGUAGCCUCACGACCACCAACACGGGCUUUACCAUCUCUACAUUUCAUACCUUUGGUAGAACCCCUACCUUUAUCAUCUAAAAUAGGAGUAGCUCUAAACAUACGACGAGAAUAAUUAUCAUCCCAUACAUAGCAAUCUUUACGACUAGUCUCAACAGAAGAAAGUACAACUGAGCCCUGAACUACUGAACUAGAAAAUCCACCACCUGAACUCUGUAAAGCCACUUGCACUGGCUUACUAUAGUAUCCAUGAGAACCUCUAAAAUCUCUACCUCGAGAGGUCUGACUCCUGAACUCACCAAAAUAUUGCGCUUUCAUGGUGCUUCCUAGAGAUACACUUAGAAUACCUUUUGUUAUCUUAGCAUGAUCCAUAAUAUCCCCAAAAAAAGCCCCAAAUCACAACCACCUAAGAUGUAACCAAUUGAAAAGAGAUAUCCAAACCCUUUACAAAUUUUUGAAUCUUCUCAGACUCAAUGAAAAUGCUCUUAUAGGAAUAUCUGGACAGGGAAUGAAAGCAUGCUUCAUACCCAGCAGCUGUCAUGCUCCUGCUCUAAAUGAUUAAACUCGUCCCACAUACGAUCUCUCAAAUCGAAAGGAAAAAAUCUCUCCAGAAAAGCAUCAACAAACUUAUCCCAUGACAACUCAAAAGCAUCAACAGGCCUACACUCGAAAAAUAAUCUCCAUUAAUCUCUCAUAGCAUCUUUCAACUAAUAGUAGUAUAAGACACACCAUUCACGCAGAAAGAGUGAAACACAACUUAGAAUACAAGGUAUGAAAAAACUUUAUACGAUAAAAAAUAAAAUGAGAAAAUUUUACGAAAGAUGUCCUAUAGCCUCUCGAAGAUAGAUACAGACAUUUACGUACUAAUUCGUGAGACUCUAUUAGACAUCCCGUUCUUACACCAUUGAGACCAAUGAAACCUGGCUGCUUUGAUACCAAUUUGUCAUGAUUUAAAAAUAAGAGUCAUGAUGGCACUUAUCGCAGCGUACCAUGACAAGUAAGCCUAUCAUCCAAACUAAUAUAAAAAGUAGAAAGGAUAGAAAUAUCCUAAGGUAAGGUUUCUAGAACAAAGCCGAACCAUGUAAAAAAUCAUGACAAUGCAGAAAGGACUAUCUAAAAUACCGAUCAUGCCCAAAACUAGGUGUCAAUAGUGUAAGAACUACUAAUACAACCCAAGAGUCAAAUACAUCAGAAAAAUAACCACAAAGGUAUAAUAUUUGUCUUCUAAUACUAAUAAAGACAUAACUACUGUAGAAAUAUAAAGGUGAACUUCAAACGUAUGAAUGUCCAAUUGCUACCUUAGAAGCUCUAAUAAUCUCCCGAGUCAAUCAAGAUGAGGUGCACUCGAGCUAGGACCUGCACCAAAAGGGCUCAGUAGGAAUGAGUGCGGUCCACUUGUACUUAGUAGGUAUCAUAGGCCGACCAAGCAAAGUAGUAAAUAAACCAUAAAAAAUAUACAGUAAGGGCACGUUACCUGCAAUCAGAAAAUGUCCCACAAUAGUAGCCCACACCACUUGCACUAAUAGUUCUAAUAUAUCUUACAUAUAUUUCAACAUUACACCAAGAUAGAACAAAUGUAUGUAUUAUAUCACAUAUAAGAAGAAUAAGGAGGAAGAUGCAUAUACAAGAUCAUCAAAUACAAGUAAAAAAAGAUACGAAAAAUACAUAGAUGACAAAUCAAUAUGACAAUACAACACAACAUAACAUAAUAAAGUAAGUGCAAUGUAUAUGAUGAUGAUGAUAAUGAUGAUGUACAAGGUUGUGUACAACCUUCUGGAUCAUUGCACAAUCCCCGUAUACACCUACGGAGGCAAGCCUUCCAACGCAGGACCCAUGGGGGGUUCGUAUGAUACAAUCCAUAUAUAUCAUAUCUUCUUUCUGGAACAUCUCUCAGAAAGGUGUUAUUAGGUGUUGCUAGUGUUUCUCAGAUGUUGCCAUGGUGGUACCAAUGUUUCAUGAAUGAGUAUGAUAUGAAGAUGUAAUUCUCACAACUAAUAACAAUGAGUAUUUCUACAACCAACCACUUGAUAUAUUUUAAAAACUAACCACAUGAUAUAUUUCCAUAACUAUAAUACCCCAUACUUUUCUUUGUCCUAUUUAGCCACUAGUGUGUCACGGUCAACUUCAAAAGCAUAUAACUCUUGGUGCAUAUAUAAUUUUCCAGAUCUAUACCUAUCAAUGUGUAGAUAAUUGAAUCAGUUUUCCAAUGAUACCAAUUUCGCCUUAAUCCGACAUACGGUUGAGAAGUUGUGGCAAUUUUAGUGAAAGUAGUAUAACACCGCAAUAAGCACCGCGUCGCGGUAGUGGGAAGAAUUGCAAUUUUCUAAUUUCAAGAGGAGCACCACAAUUAGUAUGCAUCAUGGUGAAGAUCCAAUUCCCUUUCGUCCCUUUCUAGUAACUCAAUGCAAUUUGCCUGUAUCGCGUCAAAAUUCCUAAUUGGACAGACACCGCAUCGCGGUAGAGUGCAAAAUAGCACUCGUUUAUUUCUAGUGGCGCAACAUGAUAGCAUCGCAUCAUACGAGGGUCUAAUCGGGCUUGUCCAUUUUUAGUGACGCGAUGCGAUAGCGCCGCAUCGUGCCGAGGUGAAAAAUCAGGCUCCAGUUCUGAACUUAAGCUUUCAAGGGCAACUUAGUCUUUUCAAGACCCAAGUCAUGGAAAAUAGAAGAUUUAGGGUAUUUGGAGCAACAUAUACUUAUUAUUCAUCAAUUUUCUCUCCAAGGAAACCCUAGAGUUUCAAUUUUAAAUUCCAAAAAAACUUAAAUUCCUUUAUUUUUCCAAGAUAACCCAAACUUCAAGGUUCCCAAUUCAAAAACUUCAAGAAACAAUCUUCUAGAGCACAAAUAGGGAUUCAAAGUCAAGUGUCUUCAUCAAUUUCAUUAAUUAAGGUAUGUGGGGUUUUUCAACAAGGAUAAUCCUUUCAUCCUUGUGUCCAAAAUUAGUUUUAAGGUUGAUUUUGUAUGAAAUUACAUGAGCUUCAAAUUAGGGUUCAUACCCAGUAUUGCUAAUUGAAAGAUAAUGAGAUUUGAAGUAAUUUAGAUGAUUAAUUUGCAUGUUUAUUUUCAUAUUUUUAUGUGUAUUGCAGAAAUUUCCAGAUUUUGAGAUGAAUUAUCAAUACUUACAUUAUCAAGCAUAAACCUUAUGAUGUUUUGACAUGAAUUUGAUGCAUGGGUUGUUAAGCCCUAGUUUGUAUGAUGAUAUUUUGAGAUUGACUAUACUUUAAGCAUCUUAUGAUUAAUUAUUUUUAGAUUUUGAUAAAGAUUUGAUAUUUUGAUCUCAGCUUAGACAUAGAAUCCACUCUACAGUUUCAAUUACAGAAUAGAUUAACAGAUACAAAAUUAAUUUUCAUUAUAAACCUUUAUACUAGUUUUAAAAGUGGAUUUUCAACAGAAUGAGCAUACAAAUAAAAGGGAGUAGUAUUUAACACUGAGUUGGGUAUGUUCUCAUGCCCCAAAUCUAUAAGCCAACGUAGGAUUCAUAUUUAUUAGAUUAUUUUCAUUUCUAUAUGGAUGACAGAUACAUAUGUGAUCACUUAGAUUAGGUUAUACUCUUGACAAGAGUAUGACACCUUUUCCCAACAUGAGGUUUUCCCAUAAAGGAACUAGACGUUGGACACUAUGAUAGCUCACAUAGCGUAUCUCAGUUAGAAGAACCUCCCUAAUAGUAAAGACUUUCAGAAUAUUUUUAAAAAGUAUUUCCCUAUCGACUACAAACUACAGAUUUCAGAACAGAAUAAUCCUAACAGAAAAGCUCUUAGAAACUAAGUUUUAAGGCUCACAUCUUUAUUCAGACAUUAUUUUACAAAAUAUAUUAGCUAUGAGAUUUUAGAUUUUUAGAUUUCAGAUGCAGAAUUGAGUCCUUCUACACUUAGACAACAUGACUUAAAGAUAGAAUACCAGUACAAAUUUUAGAAACUAAAUGUUAAGACUCACUAGAUUUAUGCAGUAUGUUUUGCUAUUCAUGAUUAUGAUUUUCAGUCUUCAGAUAUUCCAGUUUAUGUGAGUCAUCUAUAUUUAGCAUAUAUUCUUUUUACAAAAAUUAUAGUACUAUUAAGAUAUUGUUUUACUUAUGCAUUCAACCCCACAUGCUCUGUACAUUCCAAAAGUACUGAUCCAUAUAUACGUCUAUGUGAUAUAUUGUCUCAUAAUGUAGGUACCCGUUCAGUUGUAGUCCAUCUAUCACGAUUAGACAGUUGCAGAUUCCAACCAGCAGAUGAUGAGUCCUCCUACUUCAAGGAUUUUUGUUAGGUGUUAUUUAUGUACUUUAAUUUCUUACUCAUAUGCAUUGAUUAGUAGUAGUUGGGGUCGCAUCCCUUCUAUCUAUAGUCAGUAUAGUAGAGGUUUCACAGAUGUCAGUUAGUGUCAGUCAUGUAAUUUCAAUUCUGCUCUUCAGUUUUAUCAGAAUGUAAAAUUUUAUUAGUAUUAUAUUUUUCUUAGAUUUCAUCAUGAUUAUAUUUUUGCAUAGUAAACUCAAUCAUUUUAUACAUAUUUAGAUUAGUUUCUUAAUAGUAUGCCAAUACAAGGGUUAGCUUGGGAUCACUUUUGGUCCUAAGCAUCGUAUGUCGACUAAGGGGUAGUCUUGGAUUAUUACAAUCUUGGUAUCAGAGCAUAAAGUUCAAGUGUCCUAGGGUGUCUAUGAAGCCGUGGUUAGUAGAGUCUUGCGGAAUGGAACAGAAGCGUCUGUACUUUUUUUUGAGAGGCUACAGGACAUUUAAGAAAAGUUUUCUUUCUUUCAUAUUCUAGGUCGUGUUGUAAAGUUGUUCUCUCAAAAACUCCUCUCGAUUCAUGCGUAACUCUAUAAUUCUCUAUUUGAGUAUUAUUCCUGAGAUAACAAUAUUAGCAAGUUUUAAUUCCUCCCAAGAUAAUUCUCUCAGAUUUACUAUCAGUAGAUUCAGAAGCUACACAAGGGGCUUAUGAGGAGCUCCCUAGUGUGUUAAGUUCCUUAAGUUGAAAGUUUAUGUCCUCAUCCAUAUGAUUUGUUCAGUUAAGAUAGAGUAAGAUAUGUAUUCAAAUUCCUCGAUAAUCCUCCAAUAUAGAUAGUGCUCAUGAGAGAAGAUAGUGUGAACCUAGAUAGUUAAAUAGAGUUUGCAUUCGAGGAAUAUUGCAGCCUAGAGAGUUAUGAUUUAUAAGUAGUAAAACUUUCUUAUAGUUGAAAGUAUGGGUAUAGAAGUGUAGUGGCAAGAAUUAUGGGAAUGAUGAUUGAUUGAAAAUAUAUAGAUGAGCUUAUGCGUGUUAUAAGGUUUGUGUUAAGGUGAUAUGUCCUUAUGUGUUAGUUUAGAGGUAAUGAAUGUGGUACAAGUCCCUUGGUAGAAGGCAUAGAAAGAGCAAUUAGUUAAGGUGAAUUAUUGUUUUCUUGUAGUAUGGACAGAGUUAUUGAUGGUACCUAUCCUGUUAGAAAAGUAUUAGUUAUUAAUGAAAGUAUUUGGUGGUUUAGCAUUAUUAAUUUAGGGUUCCCUUGAGGUUGCAACAAAAAAAAGAGUUUAGCUAAAACUUAUAGAGCUAUGAAAGUAACAUAGGUGGAUAGAUGGGUAAACAGUUGCAAUGUAUAGAAAGAGGAGGUGCUAAUGUAUUAUAAUAAGAUAGAUCAUGCGAUCAUAUGAUCAAUUGUUGUUAUUAUGAGGUUCUAGUGUACUAGUGUUUCUUGAUGCUAUAUUUUACAGUUUCCAAGUGAGAAUAGUAUGUGAGAUUGGGUUGUAAAUCAUGUUUAACACUAGACAUUAAGUUUGAACAACGAAUGAUCAUCAAGGUGGAAGUAAUGAUUGCUCGGUUAGUGAUGCUAGUUAAAUGGAAGUGAUUUAGUAGGCUUUGAUAGUACAUACAAGAAUUAAAGUUCAGUUAAUCAUAAUUAAGUAUGUUAUAGAGGUGUGCCCAAGGGUGAUAUGGGGUUGCAUUAUUUUCUAUGGUUACUACAUGUUGUGUGUGAAUAGUAGUACUAUUGAGUUUCUAAGUCGAAGGAGGCUAGUUAUAUAGUAUUUAAUUCUCUUAAUAGCUAAGUUAAAGCCUUUUUGGUAUGAUUUUGAUUCUCAUGGUUUAGGGGAAAAUAUAAUUUUAGAGAUGUGAUAUUAGUAGGCUAUGACGGAAGUUGUAUGGUUCAUUAAAGGUUUGGGGAUAUCCAUGUUAAGUGUUAGAAUCUUAGUUUGAAUCCUUGAAGAUUAAGCUAACAGAAAUAAGAGUUGAAGUUCUAGAUGGUGUGAACACCGGGCAUGGUGAUACUCAUGAAGAUUCUAAGUUAGUAAGUGUUCAAGUAUUAUAUGAUGACUAUUGGGCUAUAGAAAGAUAUCUCAGAAGGAAGUAUUAACAGUAGGUCUUACACUUUCAGGUGUAGUCUUUCAGAGUAAGUUUAUUAUUUACGUGUAUUGUUGUAUUUCAAAAUCUAGAGUGCAACGAGUGUAGUUCAAUUUAUAUUUUAGUAAAGGGUUCCACAGACUUAGAAUGAUGUCUUAAAGCUAAGGGGGAGAUGAUAGAACAAGGAAAUAAGUCAGGCUCUCAAAUUCUUGUAGUGAUGACAGUAUGUUAUAGAACAUCUAAAAGGGAGAAUGAGGCAAACCCAUUCUUAUUUCAGUAGUUGUACUUUAGUUAUUGUGAUAUUUACUCAUGCCUUACGUGUUAGUUCCAUAAUCAUAGUUCAUGCUCAUGCACAUAAUAGAGAAUCAUGUACUCUCCCAGUUUCUAGUAUGAGGAGUUCCAGUUUAUUCAGCCGUACGAAUCAUGUUACAUAAGUUAUGAACUCCAAAUUCAAGUCAUGCAUCUCAUGACUCAUGUACUCAUGCUUUACAAUAUGUUCAGUUCCAAUACUCAUGCAACACUCUUAGUGGUUAGAGAAAUACAGAUUUUGCCAUGUAGAUCCUCAUUUUGACCUAUGUAAUGAAUCCAUGUCGUGAAUACUCUAUUCCUCAGGCCUCAGUAAAGUGUCAAGUUAUACUUAGUAUCCCUUCAUAUUUUGGGUCCUGAUAUUCCAACCUUUCAGUGAUCUCCCCUUAAGUCAAGAUAGUGAUGAUGAACAAUUGUGUAGAUGGAAGAGAAUAAAUAUGUUAUGUUGGGAAAAAUAGUGGUAUGCUUGUGUUUUUGUAUGUUUAUAAGUGAAGAAAUAUUGAGGUGAAGUUUUUUUUUUGUGUAAGACUUGGUUAGUUGAGAAUAUAUUUUAUGCGUGUCUUAUUAAGAAUAGUGCAUGGAAGUUGUUAUUAAUAGAGAUAUUAGAGAAUAUGAGAAAGAUGCUUCUAUGGGUGUUUGUUUAGAAGCGCAUAUAAUGUUAUAAAGAUAGGCUUGAAUGUCAUGUUGGUAUAUAUGAGGAUAGGUGCGUUGGGAACUAAUGAAUUUCUAUUAAGAGGCUGAAUUUAGUUGUUAAAGUGAUAAGAAGAAUUAUCCUAGAGAUGAGCAGUUAUGGCAACGUUUGGGGUACUGAAUUCAUGGUUCAGACUAGUAUUAUGGUGUUAUGUGCAGUACCUUAUGAUUUUGAGUUAAGAUUGAACAUGAUAAGAAGAUUUAGUUCAGUUUAGACUUUAGUAGAUGGAUUUAUCAAUGCCCAUGUGAGAAUUAUAAGUUAAAUCAAGUAAACAUGGUAUUUCAGGGGGGAUAGUAUAGUUGAUGGAAUAUUUGAGAGGUGUUUCUAAGCUUGAAAUUAAGAAGUUGAAUUGCUUAAGGCCUAGUAAUUCUAUACUAACUUAUGAUUUAUAGGUCUAUGUUCCAUGCUAUAAAGUUGUAGCAAUGUUGUAAUUUCUUAUUCAGAUGUCUUGUUCAGAUCAUGCCCAAAGUUCUUUACUCCUUAAUUUCAUUAGAAUUUCUUAGAAGAUUGUUGAAGAAAUACUCCAUUUGGGUAUGAGCAUUCAGUAUGAUUCAGUCCGUAUAGCCAACAAUCUAGUUUAAUAGUCAGACAGAUAAAUUUCUAUAGUUUUUCUAUCUUCCGAUUUAGUCUAGUCUUACUACCUGAAGUUUCAUGAGUAUGGCCAUUCCAAAAGGUAGUUUUUUCGCAUCCAUGUAAAUUGCGAAUUCAACUCAGUGUAUGCAUCAGGCAUAAGUUUCAGAUUCAGAUAUUUAGUCAUGAUUCAUUUCAUAAGUAUUCAGUGAACGAUCUUAGUUUUCCAAGUAUUCUAGCUCAGACAGUGUAAUACCCAUUGUAUGAUCUUAGCCUUGUUGUCUCAUGAUUAAUGCCUGCAUAAUUUAUCACUUCGCAAUUUUAUAUGUAUGAUUACAUCAUGAACACUUCAAGCGAAUUCUAAACUUUCAGCAUAAAUCAGCUCCUUAUAGUAAGUAUGGCAAGUCAGCUUAGAAAUCAGUUUCAUAAUAGAGGUUUUAAUGUUUCAAACUUAUUCAUGUAAGUAUGUUCCCUGAUGUGACUGUCUAGUAUAUGAUCUCAGUUACCUUAGUUUAGAACUCUCAGUCCAAUCAGUCGCUCCGUAUGAUUUAGAUUUAGACAUGCAGUUCUAUUUUAGUUGUGCAUGCCAGCAUAUAGUCUCAGUUCCUUAGUAUCCUAAGUUUAACUAGUCUCAUUCGAGGAUGAAUGUUCUCAAGGGGGAUAUAUUGUAAUACCUCAUAGUUUACUAAAUCUCGUUUAGCUCUUAGUGUGUCACGAAUCAAAUUCAAAAGCGUAUAACUCUUGAUGUGUAUAGAAUUUUCCAGCUCUAGACCCACCAAUGUGUAGAUAAAUGAAUCAGCGUUCCAACGAUAUAAAUUUUGCCUUAAUCCGACUUAUGGUUGAGAAGUUAUGGCAAUUUUAGUAAAAACAGUAUAGCACCGUGAAAAGCACCGCAUCGCGGUAGAGGAUAGAAUCACAAUUGUCUAAUUUCCUGUGAAGCACCGUGAUUAGACUGCAUCGCGGUGAAGCUCCAAUUCCCGUUCAUCCCUUUCCAGUAGCUCAACGCAAUUUGCCUUUAUCGCGUCAAAAUUUCUAAUUGGACAUACAUCGCAUCGCGGUGGAGUGCAAAAUAGCAUUCGUUUGUUUCCAAUGGGCAACACAAUAGCACCGCAUCGCGCGAGGUUCUAAACUCGGGCUUGUCCAUUUCCAUCGACGUAACGCGAUAGCGCAGCAUCACACCGAGGUGAAAAAUCGGGCUCCUGUUCCAAACUUAAGCUUUCAAGGGCAAUUUAGUCUUUUUCCCGAGCCCUAAAUCAUGGAAAAUAGAAGAUUUAGGGUAUUUGAAGCAACAUAUACUUAUUAUUCAUCAAUUUUCUCUCCAAGAAAACCCUAGAGUUUCAAUUUCAAAUUCCAAGAAAACUUAAAUUCCAUUAUUCUUUUUCCAAGAUAACCCAAAAUUCAAGGUUCCCAAUUCUAGAACUGCAAGAAACAAUCUUUAAGAGAACAAAUAGGGAUUCAAAGUCAAGUGUCUUCAUCAAUUUCAUUAAUUAAGGAAUGUGAAGUUUUUGAACACGGAUAAUCCUUUCAUCCUUGUGCCCAAAAUUAGUUUUAAGGGUGAUUUUGUACGAAAUUACAUGAGUUUCAAAUUAGGGUUCAUACCCAAUAUUGCUAAUUGAAAGAUUAGGAGAUUUGAAGUAAUUUAGAUGAUGAAUUUGCAUGUUUAUUUUCAUAUUUUUACGUGUAUUGCAGAAAUUUCCAGAUUUUGAGAUAAAUUAUCAAUACUUACAUUAUCAAGCAUGAACCUUAUGAUGUUUUGACAUGAAUUUGAUGCAUGAGUUGUUAAGCGCUAGUUUGUAUGGUGAUGUUUCGAGAUUGACUAUACUUUAAGCAUCCUAUGAUUAAUUAUUUCCAGAUUUUGAUAAAGAUUUGAUCUUUUGAUCUCAGCUUAGACAUGGAAUCCAUUUUACAGUUUCAAUUACAGAAUGGAUUAACAGAUACAAAAUUAAUUUUCAUUAUAAAACUUUAUACUAGUUUAAAAAGUGGAUUUCCAACACAGUGAGCAUACAAAUUAAAUGGAGUAGUAUUUACCACCGAGUUGGGUAUGUUUUCAUGCCCCAAAACUACGAGCCAAUGUAGGAUUUAGAUUUACCAAAUUAUUCCUAUUUCUAUAUGGAUGGCAGAUACAGAUGUGAUCACUUAGAUUAGGUUAUACUCCUUGGCAAGAAUAUGAUACUUCUCCGCAAUGUGAGGUUUUCCCAUAAUGGAACUAGACGUUGGACACCAUGAUAUCUCACAUAGUGUAUGUUGGUCAGAAGAACCUCCCUAAUAGUAAAAACUUUUAGAAUACUUUUUAAAAGUAUUUCCAGACUACAAACUACAAAUUUCAGAACAGAAUAAUCCUAACAGAAAAACUCUAAGAAAACAAGUGUUAAGGCUCUCAACUUUAUUCAGACAUCGUUUUACAAACGAUAUUAGCUAUGAGUUUUUAGCUUUUUAGAUUUCUGCUACAGAAGUGAGUCCUUCUACACUUAGACAACAUGACUUAAAGACAAAAUACCAGUAUAGCUUUUAGAAACUAAAUGUUAUGACUCACUAGAUUUAUGCAGUAUGUUUUGCUAUUCAUGAUUAUGAUUUUCAGUUUUCAGAUAUUCCAGCUUAUGUGAGUCAUCUACAUUUAGCAUGCAUUUUUUUUACAAUAUUUAUAGUACUAUUGAGAUAUUGUUUUACUUAUGCAUUCACCCCCACAUGCUCAGUACAUUCCAAAAGUACUGAUCCACAUAUACGUCUAUGUGAUACAUUGACUCAUAAUGUAGGUACUAGUUCAGUUGUAGUCCAUCAAUCACGAUUAGACAGUUACUUUCUUAUUUGGGGUUUUCAGUUAGAUGCUAUUUAUGUACUUUACUUUCUUACUCAUAUGUAUUGAUUAGUAGUAGUUGGGGUCGCGUCCCAGCUAUCUAUAGUAAGUAUAGUAGAGGCUUCACAGAUGUCAGUUAGUGUCAGUCAUAUAAUUUCAGUUCCGCUCUUCAGUUUUAUCAGAAUGUAAAAUUGUAUCAGUAUUGUAUUUUUCUUAGAUUUCAUCAUGAUUAUAUUUCCGCGCAGUAAACUCAAUCAUUUUAUACAUAUUUAGAUCAGUUGCUUAACAGUAUGCUAGUACAAGGGUUAGCUUAGGAUCACUUGUGGUCCUAAGCACCUUGUGACGACUAGGGGGUAGUCUCAGGUCGUUACAACAACCAACCACAAUGAUAUAUUUCCACAACCCCAUGAGCCAAUAUCCUCUCAUUAGUUUCAUUUCAUUCAUGAAUUUUCGCAUGUCUCAUAUGCCAAUAAAGUAUGAAUAUAAUCACAAUACAUCAGUGGUACUACAUUAAUCAAUUUAACAACAUAAUACAAUUAUUCACAUGUAUUCAAGGCUAUGAUUAUCACAUAGAACUCACACGGUCACAGAUAUCACAUAAUAUCUCAAUUUUGACAAUUAUAUCACAUAUAGGCUCCCACACGGGCAUAAAACAUAGAUAAAUAUUUUUCAUGAUUAGUUUCCACCCUUAACUUGCAUUUUUUAUCAUCAUUUACUACCCAGCCUAGUCUGAAGAGUUAAGCCAUAACCUACCUCGAAAGCCAAAACCGGUCUGCUACACCUUGAACCCAUGAUCUUACUUUUAACGAACAAUAUCGAACUCUACUAAAAAUAUCAAAUAUGAAAUCUAUGUGUCAAAACAAAACCAACGACGCCCAUAUUGACUACUUUUGGUUUGGGGUCAAAAUGGAUCCCCGGAAUGAAUUUUCAAAAAAGAAGGGCAAAAUCAGAAUUUUACUUUAAAAACAUGUUCCCCAUAUUUUUAGGAGCCUACAUCUAAAAACUCAAGUUAAAUCGAGUAAAAAAUGUAGUUCAAAUCGAAGAAAAACCAUUUUUGAGCUUUACCGGGUAAAUUCUUUGAAAUUCGGGUUAAAAUUAAGAAUCGAAUUUGUUUUGAAGGUUAAAUUAAUGACAAACUAGUAGUUAUAAGAUAAAAAUAUUAUUCAAGUGAAAAGAAGUGGAAUUAGGGUUUAAAAUCAAGCUCUAAGAUUUAUGGGGUUUUGAGAAAUUAAUUAAAAAAUUACUAAGAAAAGGGUGAAUUAAAUCCGUAAUUAAACCAAGAAAUGAGUGUUAAUAUAACUCUCCAAGAUCUCACAAACUUACUUUUAAGCUCUUGUACUAUUUUAGGGUUUAAGUCUUAAGAGUAAAGAUGAAAAAUGAGCAAAAUGGGCCAAAAAGGGUGAAAAAAUUGUUAUAUAGCAGAAAAUCUUCUACCAUAGAGAAGAUUUUUCUUUCCCAAGUUCAAACGGACUUCGACGGGAGCUCGGGUGUCGUUCGGAGUACGAUAUACACAAACAAACUAUGCAACCAUACUAAAUUCGACGUUUCUUACGCGAUGGAGAUAUCAUAUUUUCAAAAAAUAUCAUUUUCACAAAGUUGAUCCCUAAAAUUCGAAAUCAUAAUUUUCCAAACCGAGGGUCCAAAUGAGAUUUGAAAGCUAUAAAAUCAUAUCAAAUAUACUAACACCCUAAAAUCAACAUUCUGGAUCUGCUGACAAAUUCAAAUUUUCUAUUCGAGGUUGUUUUGAUCAAAUGUGGGUCCCACACCCAUAUUUUCAAUUUUCCAACAUUCAAACCAAUAGGUCGAAAUGAGCUCGGGUGCACUAUGAACCGAACCAAAGGUCUACCUAGGAUAAAAUCGAUAUUCUAAAGCUGCUGGGGCAGUUUGUUUAGCCAUCCAUCAUAUGGAUCAAAGGAUAUCCGUUAUAUAGACUGAUUGUGGUUUUUUAUGGCUUACCAGUAUAUGAUCUCAGUUACCUUAGUUCAGAACUCUCAGUCCAAUCAGUCGCUCCAUAUGAUUUAGAUUCAGACAUGCAGUUUUAUUUCAGUUAUGCAUGCCAGCAUAUAGUCUCAGUUCCUCAGUAUCCUAAGUUUAACUAGUCUCAUUCAAGGACGAAUGUUCUCAAGGAGGAGAUAUUGUUAUGCCUUAUACUUUUCUAAAUCUUGUUUAGCUCCUAGUGUGUCAUGAAUCAAAUUCAAAAGCGUAUAACUCUUGAUGCGUAUAAAAUUUUUCAGCUCUAGACCCACUAAUGUGUAGAUAAACGAAUCAGCAUUCCAACGAUAUCAAUUUCGCCUUAAUCCGACUUACGGUUGAGAAGUUAUGGCAAUUUUAGUAAAAAUAGUAUAGCACCGCGAUAAGCACCGCAUCGCGGUAGAGGAUAGAAUCACAAUUGUCCAAUUUCCUAUGGAGCACCGUGAUUAGACUGCAUCAUGGUGAAGCUCUAGUUCCUGUUCGUCCCUUUCUAGUAGCUCAACGCUAUUUGCCUGUAUCGCAUCAAAAUUCCCAAUUGGACAGACACCGCGUCACGGUGGAGUGCAAAAUAGCACUCGUCCAUUUCCAGUGGGCAACACGAUAGCACCGCCUUGUGCGAGGUUCUAAAAUCGGGCUUGUCCAUUUCCAGUGACGCAACGCGAUAGCGCCGCAUUGCGCCGAGGUGAAAAAUCGGGCUCCAGUUCCAAACUUAAGCUUUCAAGGGCAAUUUAGUCUUUUCCCGAGCCCCAAAUCGUGGAAAACAAGAGAUUUAGGGUAUUUGGAGCAACAUAUACUUAUUAUUCAUCAAUUUUCUCUCCAAGGAAACCCUAGAGUUUCAAUUUCAAAUUCCAAGAAAACUUAAAUUCCAUCAUUCUUUUUCCAAGAUAACCCAAAAUUCAAGGUUCCCAAUUCUAGAACUUCAAGAAACAAUCUUUAAGAGCACAAAUAGGGAUUCAAAGUCAAGUGUCUUCAUCAAUUUCAUUAAUUAAGGUAUGUGAGGUUUUUCAAUAAGGAUAAUCCUUUCAUCCUUGUGCCCAAAAUUAGUUUUAAGGUUGAUUUUGUACGAAAUUACAUGAGUUUCAAAUUAGGGUUCAUACCCAAUAUUGCUAAUUGAAAGAUUAGGAGAGUUGAAGUAAUUUAGAUGAUGAAUUUGCAUGUUUAUUUUCGUAUUUUUAUGUGUAUUGCAGAAAUUUCCAGAUUUUGAGAUGAAUUAUCAAUACUUACAUUAUCAAGCAUGAACCUUAUGAUGUUUUGACAUGAAUUUGAUGCAUUAUUUGUUAAGCGCUAGUUUGUAUGGUGAUGUUUCGAGAUUGACUAUACUUUAAGCAUCCUAUGAUUAAUUAUUUCCAAAUUUUGAUAAAGAUUUGAUCUUUUGAUCUCAGCUUAGACAUGGAAUCCAUUUUACAGUUUCAGUUACAGAAUAGAUUAACAGAUACAAAAUUAAUUUUUAUUAUAAACCUUUAUACUAGUUUAAAAAGUGGAUUUCCAACACAAUGAGCAUACAGAUUAAAUGAAGUAGUAUUUAGCAUCGAGUUGGGUAUGUUUUCAUACCCCAAAACUACGAGCCAAUGUAGGAUUUAGAUUUACCAAAUUAUUCCUAUUUCUAUAUGGAUGACAAAUACAGAUGUGAUCACUUAGAUCAGGUUAUACUCCUUGGCAAGAAUAUGAUACCUCUCCGCAAUGUGAGGUUUUCCCAUAAUGGAACUAGACGUUGGACACCAUGAUAUCUCGCAUAGUGUAUGUCGGUUAGAAGAACCUCCCUAAUAGUAAAAACUUUCAGAAUACUUUUUAAAAGUAUUUUCCUACAGACUACAAACUACAGAUUUCAGAACAGAAUAAUCCUAACAGAAAAACUCUAAGAAAACAAGUGUUAAGGCUCACAACUUUAUUCAGACAUCGUUUUACAAACGAUAUUAGCUAUGAGUUUUUAGCUUUUUAGAUUUCUGAUACAGAAGUGAGUCUUUCUACACUUAGAAAACAUGACUUAAAGACAAAAUACCAGUAUAGCUUUUAGAAACUAAAUGUUAUGACUCACUAGAUUUAUGCAGUAUGUUUUUCUAUUCAUGAUUAUGAUUUUCAGUUUUCAGAUAUUCCAUCUUAUGUGAGUCAUCUACAUUUAGCAUGCAUUUUUUUUUUACAAAAUUUAUAGUACUAUUGAGAUAUUGUUUUACUUAUGCAUUCACCCCCACAUGCUCAGUACAUUCCAAAAGUACUGAUCCACAUAUACGUCUAUGUGAUACAUUGGCUCAUAAUGUAGGUACUAGUUCAGUUGUAGUCCAUCAAUCACGAUUAGACAGUUACUUUCUUAUUUGGGGUUUUCAGUUAGAUGCUAUUUAUGUACUUUACUUUCUUACUCAUAUGUAUUGAUUAGUAGUAGUUGGGGUCGCGUCCCAGCUAUCUAUAGUAAGUAUAGUAGAGGCUUCACAGAUGUCAGUUAGUGUCAGUCAUAUAAUUUCAGUUCCGCUCUUCAGUUUUAUCAGAAUGUAAAAUUGUAUCAGUAUUGUAUUUUUCUUAGAUUUCAUCAUGAUUAUAUUUCCGCGCAGUAAACUCAAUCAUUUUAUACAUAUUUAGAUCAGUUGCUUAACAGUAUGCUAGUACAAGGGUUAGCUUAGGAUCACUUGUGGUCCUAAGCACCUUGUGACGACUAGGGGGUAGUCUCAGGUCGUUACAACAACCAACCACAAUGAUAUAUUUCCACAACCCCAUGAGCCAAUACCCUCUCAUUAGUUUCAUUUCAUUCAUGAAUUUCCGCAUGUCUCAUAUGCCAAUAAAGUAUAAAUAUAAUCACAAUACAUCAGUGGUACUUCAUUAAUCAAUUUAACAACAUAAUACAAUUAUUCAUAUGUAUUCAAGGCUAUGAUUAUCAUAUAGAAUUCACACGGUCACAGAUAUCACAUAAUAUCUCAAUUUUGACAAUUAUAUCACAUAUAGGCUCCCACACGGGCAUAACACAUAGAUAAAUAUUUUUCAUGAUUAGUUUUGCGUCCUUAACAUGCAUUUUUUAUCAUUAUUUACUACCCAUCCUAGUUUGAAAGAGUUAAGCCAUAACCUACCUCGAAAGUCGAAAUUGGUCCGCUACACUUUGAACUCAUGAUCUUACUUUUAAUGAGCAAUAUCGAACUCUACUAAAAAUAUCAAAUAUGAAAUCUACGUGUCAAAACAAAACCAACGACACCAAUAUUGACUACUUUUGGUUUGGGGUCAAAAUGGAUCCCCGGAAUGAAUUUUCAAAAAAGAAGGGCAACAUCAGAAUUUUACUUUAAAAACAUGUUCCCCAUAUUUUUAGGAGCCUACAUCUAAAAACUCAAGUUAAAUCGAGUGACAAAUGAGGUUCAAAUCGAAUAAAAACCAUUUUUGAGCUUUACCUGGUAUAUUCUUUGAAAUUCGGGUUAAAAUUAAGAAUCGAAUUUGUUUUGAAGGUUAAAUUGAUGACAAACUAGUAGUUAUCAGAUAAAAAUAUUAUUCAAGUGAAAAGAAGUGGAAUUAGGGUUUAAAAUCAAGCUCUAAGAUUUAUGGGGUUUUGAGAAAUUAAUUAAGAAAUUACUAAGAAAAGGGUGAAUUAAAUCCGUAAUUAAACCAAGAAAUGAGUGUUAAUCUAACUCUCCAAGCUCUCAAAAACUUACUUUUAAGAUCUUAUACUAUUUCAGGGUUUAAGUCUCAAGAGUCAAGAUGAAAAAUGAGCAAAAUGGGCCAAAAAGUGUGAAAAACUGUUAUAUAACAGAAAAUCUGCUACCAUAGAGCAGAUUUUUCUUUCCCAAGUUCAAACGGACUUCGACGGGGAGACCGGGUGUUGUUUGGAGUACGAUAUACACAAACGAACUAUGCAACCAUACUAAAUUCGACGUUUCUUACGCGAUAGAGAUAUUAUAUUUUCAAAAAAAUAUCAUUUUCACAAAGUUGAUCCCCGAAAUCCGAAAUCUCAAUUUUCCUAACCGAGUGUCGAAAUCAGAUUUGAAAGCCAUAACAUCAUAUCAAAUAUGCUAACACCCUAAAAUCAACAUUCUGGAUCUGCUGGCAAAGUCAGAUUUUCUAUUUGAGGUUGUUUUGAUCAAAUGUGGGUCCCACACCCAUAUUUUCAAUUUUUCAACAUUCGGACCAAUAGGUCGAAAUGAGCUCGGGUGCACUACGAACCAAACCAAAGGUAUACCUAGCCUAAAAUAGAUAUUCUAGAGCUGCUGGGGCAGUCUGUUUGUUGUCAUUAAUUCUGAUUACUUCUAAUAAGAAAAAGUUUAACAUAGAUAUAUUUAAUUAAUUUUUAACUCUAAAUUUAGAAAAAUAGUGAAAAGAUGAUAAUGAGGAAUGAUUUUACCAUAUAUAUAUUUAAUUAAUUUUUAACUCUUAAAUAUUAGGAAAAUAGUGAAAAGAUGAUUUUGUCUAUAGCAAAGACUUUGAAUGAAGGACAAAAAGUUCAAACGACAUUUCUAAGGCCUUCACACUUUUAAUAUAGUAUAGAUAAAUAGCAACAUUUUGUCAAAAUUAUACUUUAUAGCAAACGUAGCAUUAUUUUGGUGGGACAAUGCACUCACGCUUGUUUCUUGGUAAAUUCUCCUAUUUUCACUCCAACACUUUACCUCUUUCCUAUCUUACUUUACCUUUAUUUAUUUAUUUAUUUAUUUAUUUAUUUUUCAAAUAACGCAUAAAUUGCAGAUUUUCACUCCAAUUUUUUACCUUUUUCUCAUAUUUUUCUCACAUUAUAGAUAGAGAUUGUUCUCCAUAAAAUAUGGUAAGUAUCAAUUUACAAUUAUUGCAUGUUAUCUCUUCCACAUAUUCUAUAUAUUUUAUAUUUUUAUAUUUUUAUAUUUUUAUAUUUUUUUGUUCUCCAUUGUUCAUGCCAUUUUUUUUGUUUUUUAUUUUUUGAGAAAAUUUUUGUUGUAUUAUGGAGGUCUGCUCUAAUGUGUGAGGCCGAAGCAUCGUAAUGAUUCGGAGAAGAUGGUCAAAUUAUGAAGCAAACCAAAAUUGAAAAAAAAAAAUCAUCUCCAAAAUUCUCGAAUAUACAAAGAUCUGAGGAAAAAAAAAAUCGGAGAAUCAAGCAAAAUUUUAAGUUUUAAUGUUGAAUACUCUUCUAAAUAUGAUUCGGAAGAAGAUAAAGUUGAAAAGGUAUUUGUAUUUGUAUAUAUUAGUUUAUGGUUUUUCACUUGUCUGUAUAUAUAUAUAUAUAUAUAUAUAUAUAUAUAUAUAUUACCCCGUACUUUUCCUAGAUAAAUUUAGCCCUUAGAAUGUCAAGGAUUAGCUUCAAAAAUGAAUAACUCUUGGUACAUAUAUAAUUUUCAAGAUCUAGACCCACCAAUGUGUAGAUAAUUGACUCAGCUUUUCAACGAUACCAAUUUUGCCUCAAUCCAAUACUUGGUUGAGAAGUUUUGGCAUUUUUAGUGGAGACAAUGUCUCAAAAUGGGCAGAUGCGGUGACAUGCAAAAUGAAAUUUGUCAAAUUUCAGUGGACCAACGUGAUUGGCCCGUAUCGUGGUGAAAUUCCAUUUUCCAAUUGUCAAUUUCAGUGGCUUACCGCGAUGGUGGCGCAUCGCGGUGAUGGCCUAAAUGACAUUUCAGUGGCUUACCGCAAUAGCUCCGCAUCGCAUUGAUUUUUUAGUUUCCAGUUGUCAAUUUCUAGUAAGCCACCGUGAUUGUGGUGCGUCGCAGCGGGUGGCAAAAUUGAGAAUUUUCAAUAUUCCAAAAUUUAUUUUAAAAGGGUAGUUUGGUAUUUUCCCAAGCCCCAAAUCGUGAAUAACACUAGAUUAAACCUAUUCUAAGCAUUAUAUGCUCCUGUUUCAUCAAUUAUCUUUCAAAGAAACCCUAGAACUCAAAGCUUAAUCUCCAAGAAAUCCACUUUUCUCCAUUCAUUUUUAAAGAUAGCUUAAAAUUAAGGGUUUCCAAUUCAAGAUAAUUAAGAAUCCAUCUUAUAGAGCACAAAUAGGACUCCAAAAUCAAGUGUUCUCAUCAAUUGCAUCAAUUAAGGUAUGUGAGGUUUUUGAACAAGGAUAAAUCUUUCAUCCUUUUUCCCAGACUAGUUUUAAUUAUAGAUUCACAUGAUUUUACAUGAAUUUCAAGUUAGGGUUCAUACCCAUUUAUUGUUAAUUAAAGAUUUUUAGAUUUCAAGUGAUUUGGAUGAUGAAUUACAUGUCUGCUUUCGUAAAUUUAUGCAUGUGACCAUAUUUUCCAGAUUUUGAGUUGAAUUAUGAAUAUUUUCACCAUCAAGGAUGGACUUUAUGAUGAUUUAACAUGAAAUUGAUGCACGGGUUAUCAAGCCCUAGUUGAAUGUUGCUAUUUCAAGGAUGAUUAUGAUUUUAAGCAUCUUAUGAUAUGUUUAUAGAAAACUUUGAGUAAAGAUUUGAUCUUUCGAUCUUUAGCUAAGAUAUGAAAUCCACUUUACAACUUAAAUUCAGUUUUGAAUGAACAGAUACACAGUUGGCUUUCAGUAUGAGAUAUUAUGACUUUUCAAAGUAGAUUUCCUAUGGAAUGAUCAUACAGAUUAAAGGGAGUAGUAUUUAGCACCGAGCGGAAAGUGUGGGUUUAGCCAUCCUACUUUUCUAGAACUACGAGCCAACGUAGGUACAAAUUUAGUAUUCCCAUUUCUAUAUGGAUGACAGUUACAAAUAUGAUCACUUAACUCAGGUUAUACUUCUUGGCAAGAGUAUGAUACCUCUCCCCAACGUGCGAUUUUUCCCUUAGAGGAACCAGAUGUUGAACUCCAUGAUAGCUCACAUAGUUUAUAUCAGUUUGAAGAACCUGCCUUGUAGAUAAUCUUUUGAAAAGAAACCUCUCUGCUAGUAAAAGUAAAUAAAUAGCUACUGAGUAAAAUUCCCUACUAGUAAUACUAAUACUACAACUUUUGAAAGAAUUUCCCUAUAGUUUAAUAGAAAAGAAUGACAUAUAACAGUUCAACUUUUAGACUUUAAAUGUAAUGGCUCACCAGAUUUACUCAAUAUGUUUUAUUAUUCUUGAUUUAUGAUUUUCAGAUUUUAGUUAUUCCAUCCAUGUGAAUCAUUACAUACAACAUGCAUAUUCUAUGAAUUUUAAUAACAUUGAGAUAUUAAGUUUACUUAUGCAUUCACUCCAUAUACUCAGUACAUCCUCAAAGAACUGAUCCACAUAUACGUGUAUGUGCUACAUUGUCUUAUAAUGUAGGUUUAGGUGCUCAGUCUCUGAACGUGAGUGAUUUUGGGCAUCUCUAUCUACAUCCCGCUAGUUGGCGAGUCCUCAUUCGAGGGCCCAUUUACCUAAAUUUCCAUCUUUCAUAAUAUUUGAGUAGUUUCUUUCAGUUUAUUCUGAGUCAGUUGGGGGUUUGUCCCAAUGGCUCUCUAGUUUCUUAGUAGCAGAGGCUUGUCGGACUACUAGCUAUUAUAUGCAACUUUCAGUAUUAGUUAUCCAAAUAGUAUAUUUAGUUGAUCUCAGACAAUUUUGAUAAUAUUUAGUAUUUUAGCAUUUAUAUCUGAUUAAAUUACUUUAAUAUGAGCUAUAGACUUAGUAGCAGGCUUAUAGGGUUAGCUUGAGACUACUCGUAGUCUUUAGCACUCGUGACGUCUCGGGACCAGGUUUCGGAGUGUUACAAACUUGGUAUUAGAGCCUAAGGUUUAGAGAUUCCUAGUGAGUUAGGUAAGCCACAUUACGUAGAGUCUUGAUCAUGAGUGUGAAGUGUGCCACAUUUAUGAGAAAAAGACUAUGGGAUGUUUUAGGAAAUCAUCUCUUUCUUUCAUGAUCCAUCGUGCUUACAACUAUCUCUAUCUUCUAUUAAUUCAUGCUCUUUCAUGACAGAAUAUGCCCCCUCAUAGAGCUAAUGCCCUUAGGAAUGAUAACCAGUCACCCCAGCCUAUUGAUCCUCUGAAUGAGAAUGUGUCUCAUGCCGAAUUUUGGGCUGCCUUUUAGGCAUUAGCUCAAGCUAUGACUGAUAAUGUUCAGGCCAAUAAUCAGGCUGCAGUUCCAUAUCAGCAAAAGGGUUAUUUAGCUGUAGCCAGACUUCGUGACUUCAUGAGAAUGAAUCCACCUAAAUUAUUUGGAUCAAAGGUAGGUGAGAACCCAUAGUUGUAUCUUGAUAAGGUGAAAAAAAUCACCUAAGUUAUGUAUGUUACUGAGAAAAAGAGUGUGGAAUUAGCUUCUUAUAGGCUGAAGGAUAUUGCUUAUGAUUGGAUUGCUAUGUGAAAGAAAGAUAGGGGUGAGAAUGCAUCUCCCAUGAGUUGGCAAGCAUUUCAGGAUGAUUUUCUAGAUAGGUUCUUUCCACGUGAGUUGUGGAAACCAAGAUUGAGGAGUUCAUAAACCUGAGGUAGGGCUCAAUGACAGUAAAGGAGUACUGCCUUAAGUUUAACCAAUUAUCUAAGUAUGCUCCUGAGUUGAUAGCUGACACUAGAUCUAGUAUAAGUAAGUUUGUUACUAGAGUGUCUGGAUUGGUAGUCAAGGAGUGUAGGACUGCCAUGCUUAUUGGAGACAUGGAUCUUGAUAAAUUGAUAAUACAUGCCCAGCAGAUUAAGGCAGAAAAGUUGAAGGGAAGAGAUCGAAGUAAUAAGAAAACUAGGACUGGGCAGUUAGAGUAUGGUCAAUCAAGGUUAACAGAGGGAAAUCAUUUGCAGUUUCAGAGUCGUCUGCCUUUGCCAGCACCAUUUUCAACUAGUGCCCCCACACCCAGAACCAAGCAGGAAUAGUGGGGUAAGACUUUUAUGUCCAGAUCUCAGAAUAGUGUGGGUGGAAGGCCUAGUUUUCCUUCAUGUUCUAGAUGUGGUAAGAAUUAUCUUGGUGAGUGCUUGUUGGGUUAGAAAGGUUGCUUUGGAUGUAGUCAAUUGGGCCAUGGUAUCAAGGCGUGCCCGUAUGCUAAGCAAGGAAGCAGGGAUGUUCGUCCCCAAACUCAGGCUACUAGUGCACCGGCUUCUAUAACCUUCCAAAUACCUCCUCAGGGUGCAUCAUCUAAUAUCUGUGACGGUUAGUGCCAGAAUCGGUUCUAUGCUUUACCAUUCUGUUAGGAGUAGGAGAGCUCCCCAGAUGUUGUUACUGGUAUGCUUCGUGUAUUUCAUCUUGAUAUUUAUGUGUUAUUGGACCUCGGAUUGAGUUUCUCUUAAGUGAACCCAUUAGUUGCAGUAAAUUUUGAAAUAGGUCCUGAAAAGAUCCUUGAUCCCUUCUUGGUUUCUACCUAGUGGGUACAUCAGUUGUUUCCAAAUAGAUCUAUAAAAAGUGUCUUAUCACUGUCCUUUAUAAAAUUAUAUUAGCCAAUUUAAUAGAGUUAGAUAUGGUUGACUUUGACCAUAUUCUUGGUAUGGAUUGGAUCCACUCCUAUUAUACAUCCAUAGAUUGUCAUACUCGAGUGGUGAAGUUUCAAUUUCCUGAUGAACAAGUAUUUGAGUGGAAAGGUAAUUCAGUAUGUCCCAAGAGUCAUUAAAGCUAAAAAUUUGAUAUCUAAAGGGUGUACCUAUUAUUUAGUUCGAGUUGAAGACAUUAAGUUUGAGACUCCAAUAGUUUAGUCUGUCAGUAUAAUCAAUGAGUUUCCUAAUAUCUUUCUUGAAGGUUUGCCAGGGAUACCUCCCGAUAGGAAAAUAGAAUUCGGUAUUGACCUUCUCCCAGAUACUCAGCCAAUCUUCAUUCCCCAUAUCGUAUGGCUCGUGUUUAUUUUAAAGAUUUGAAAGAGCAACUCAAAUAUCUCUUAGACAAAGGUUGUAUAAGGACAAGUGUUUCUCCAUGGGGCGCUCCCAUCCUAUUCGUGCGAAAGAAAGAUGGUUCUUUGCGAAUGUGCAUUGACUAUCAUUAGCUGAAUAAAGUCACAAUAAAAAACAAAUAUCCGCUUCCUAGAAUUGAUGAUUUAUUUGAUCAAAUCCAAGGUAUAAGUUACUUCUCAAAGAUAAACCUUACAUUUGGCUAUCAUCAACUUAGAGUUAGGGAAUGUGAUAUUCCAAAGACAACUUUUAGAACCCGUUAUGGUUAUUUUAAGUUUCUAGUCAUGUCCUUCGAGCUAACAAAUGCCCCAGCAACCUUCAUGGACUUAAUGAACCAUGUGUUCAAAUAGUAACUAGAUAUAUUUGUCAGUCUUUAUUGAUGAUAUCCUUGUCUAUUCUCGUAGUGAGGAUGAUCAUGCAGACCAUUUUAGAAUUAUGUUGCAAACUCUUAGAGAUCACCAAUUGUUCACUAAAUUCAACAAAUUUGAAUUUUGGCUAAGGUCAGUAGCUUUUCUCGAUCAUAUUAUUCCAGUGAUAACAUUAGGGUUGAUCCCCAAAAGACUAAAGCGGUGAGGAAUUGACCUAGACCUAUUUCUCCAUCAAACAUCAGAAGUUUCUUGGGUUGAACUGGCUAUUAUAGACGGUUUGUUGAGGGAUUUUUGUCCAAUGCGUCUUCUAUGACCAAAUUAACUCGGAAGAAAGUUAAGUUUCAGUAGUCAGAUUCCUGUGAGAAUAGUUUUCAGAAGUUGAAGACUCGACUCACUUCAACCCCAGUUUUAGCACUACCUUAUGGUACAAAUAGAUUCGUUGUAUACUGUGAUGCCUUUAGAGUUGGUUUGGGUUGUGUGUUGAUGAAGAAAGGUAAAGUCAUAGCCUAUGCUUCUAGAUAUCUUAAGCCUCGUGAAAAGAACUACCCUACCUAUGAUCUUGAGUUAGUUUCUAUUGUGUUUACAUUGAAAAUCUGGAGGCACUAUCUUUAUGGGGUACAUGUUGAUGUGUUUACGGAUCAUAAAAGUUUGCAAUAUGUGUUCACUCAGAGAGAGUUAAAUCUUCAUCAGAGAAGGUGGUUAGAAUAGUUGAAGGAUUAUGAUAUGAGUGUUUUGUAUCAUUUGGGCUAGGCCAAUAUAGUGGCAGGCGCUCUUAGUAGAUUGUCUAUGGGCAGUAUUGCUCAUAUAGAAAAUUAUAAGAAAGAACUAGUUUGGGAAGUUCACCGAUUAGCUAGAUUAGGUGUGAGGUUGGUUGACUAAGCUAAAAGGAAUGUUUGGGUUCAGAGUAGUUCGAAAUCUUCUCUAGUUUCUGAAGUAAAAGAGAAAUAGGAUAGGGAUCUUGGUUUGGUCAAACUGAAGGGUUUAGUUAAAGAUCAAAAGGUAAAACUUUUAUCCCAAAGGGGAGAUGGUGUGUUGUGAUACCAAGGUAGAUUGUAUGUGCCAUGUGUUGAUGAUUUGAAGCAGCGAAUUAUGGAAGAAGCGCAUGGUGCACGUUAUUCCAUCCAUUCGGGUGCCACCAAGAUGUACCGCGAUUUGUGGGAAGUCUAUUGGUGGGGUGGUAUGAAGAAGGAUAUCGCUUAGUUAGUAGCUAAGUGUCCAGUUUGUUAACAGGUUAAAGUAGAGCACCAAAGACUUGGUGGCACGUUGCAGGAGUUUGGUAUUCCUACUUGGAAGUGGGAAGAGGUGAAUAUGGACUUUGUAACUGGAUUACCCCAUUCGCGUAGUCAUCCUGAUUUGAUUUGUGUUAUAGUAGACAGAUUGACUAAAUUAGCUCAUUUCUUGACGGUUCACACGUCCUACACAGUUGAAGAUUAUGCUAAGUUAUAUAUCAGAGAGUUAGUCAGAUUGCAUGGAGUUCCUUUGUCCAUUAUCUCAAACAAGGGUACUGAGUUUACCUCUUAAUUUUGGAAAGCCUUUCAGAAGGGUCUUGGUACUCAAGUUCAUCUCAGUUCAGCCUUUCAUCCGCAGACAGAUGGUCAGGCGGAGAGGACUAUUCAGACCUUAGAGGAUAUGUUAAGGGCUUGUGUUCUUAAUUUCAAAGGUAGUUGGGAUGAGCAUUUGCCGUUAAUUGAGUUCACCUACAAUAACAGUUACCGUACUAGCAUUCAGAUGGACCUAUUUGAGGCUCUUUAUUGGCAGAGAUGUAGAUCUCCAGUAGGUUGGUUCGAAGUGCGUAAGGCUACUUUGAUUAGACCAGAUAUGGUGUUUGAAGCUAUGGAGAAAGUUCAGUUGAUUCGAGAAAGAUUGAAAGCAUCUCAGAGUCAUCAGAAAUCAUAUAUGCAAACGUGAGAAGGAGAGAUCUUGAGUUUAAAGUAGAUGACCUUGUAUAUUUGAAAGUUUCACCCAUGAAAGGGGUGAAGAGAUUUGGCAAAAAUGGGAAGCUUAGUCCCCGAUAUGUAGGCCCCUAUAGGAUUUUGAAUCAUGUUGGGAAGGUAGUUUAUGAGCUUGAGCUACCCGCAGACUUGUCCUCAGUUCAUUUUGUGUUCCAUGUAUCCUUAUUGAAGAAGUGCAUGGAUGAUUCAAUUGUUGUAGUUCCUCUAUAAAGCAUAGAUAUUCAUAAUAGCCUCUCAUACGAAGAAGUUCCAGUAGAGAUCAUUGAUCAUCAGAUUCAUAGACUAAGGAACAAAAAAGUUCCCUUGAUCAAAGUUCUGUGGUAAAACCAGUCCGUUAAGGGCGCUACUUGGGAAACAGAAACAGACAUGCGUACCAAGUAUCCUCAUCUCUUCUUCACAAACUCAGAUUCAGCCGAAGGUAACGGUCUUCCUUAAUUCAGUUCUUUUCCAGUCUCAGAUUCAGCCAUAUAGCUAUCUUUAUGCAAAUUUAUGCACUCGCAGAUUAGCUCAUUCACUCAGUAUAUUUUAGAUUCAUUCAUACAGCUUGUUUCAGUUGUGCAUGCCUACAUAUAGCCUCAGUUCUUUAGUAUUUUCAGCUUAACUAGUCUCAUUCGAGGACGAAUGUUCCCAAAGGGGAGAUAAUGUAAUACCCCAUACCUUUCCUUGCUAAAUUUAGCCCCUAGAAUGUUAAGGAUUAGCUUAAAAAAUGAAUACUUAUUGGUACAUGUAGAAUUUUUAAGUUCUAGACCCACCAAUGUGUAGAUAAUUGACUCAGCUUUCCAACGAUAGCAAUUUUGCCUCAAUCUGAUACUUGGUUGAGAAGUUAUGACAUUUUUAAUAGAGAUAGUGUCUCAAAAUGGGUGCACCGCAUCUCGGUGACAUGCAUAAUAACAUUUGUCAAAUUUCAGUGGACUACCGCGAUUGACUCAUAUUGCGGUGAAGUCCCAUUUCCCAAUUGUCAUUUUCAAGUGGCUCACCAAGAUAGUGGCGCAUCGCGGUGAUCGAAUAAAUGACAUUUUAGUGGCUUACCGCGAUAGCUUCACUUCGCGUUUUUUUUCCAGUUUCUAGUUGUCAAUUUCCAGUAAGUCACUGUGAUUUGUGAUGCAUCGUAGUGGGUGGCAAAAUGGGGAAUUUUCAGCUUUCUGAAAUUUAUUUCAAAAGGGUAGUUUGGUCUUUUCCCAAUCCCCAAAUCAUGAAUAACACAAGAUUAAACCUAUUCUAAGCAUUAUAUGCACCUAUUUCAUCAAUUUCCUCUCAAAGAAACCCUAGAACUCAAAGCUUAAUCUCUAAGAAAUCCAAUUUCCUCCAUUUAUUUUUAAAGAUAGCUCAAAAUUAAGGGUUUCCAAUUCAAGAUAAUCAAGAAUCUAUCUUCAAGAGCACAAAUAGGAAUCCAAAAUCAAGUGUUCUCAUCAAUUGCAUCAAUUAAGGUAUGUGGGGUUUUGUACAAGGAUAAAUCUUUCAUCCUUAUGCCAAAAACUAGUUUUAAUUAUAAAUUCACAUGAUUUUACAUGAAUUUCAAGUUAGGGUUCAUACCCAUUUAUUGUUAAUUGAAGAUUUUGAGACUUCAAAUAAUUUGGAUGAUGAAUUACAUGUUUACUUUCGUAAAUUUAUGCAUGUGAUCAUAUUUUCCAAUUUUUGAGUUGAAUUACCAAUAUUUUCAUCAGCAAGCAUGAAUUUUAUGAUGAUUUAACAUGAAAUUGAUGCAUGGGUUAUCAAGCCCUAGUUGAAUGUUGCUAUUUCUUGAAUGAUUAUGCUUUUAUGCAUCUUAUGAUAUGUUUAUAGACAGAUUUGAAUAAAGAUUUGAUCUUUUGGUCGUUAGCUAAGAUAUAAAAUCCACUUUACAACUUAAAUUCAGUUUUGAAUGAACACAUACACAGUUAGCUUUCAGUGUGAGAUAUUAUGACUUUUAAAAGUGGAUUUCCUAUGGAAUGAGCAUACAUAUUAAAGGGAGUAGUAUUUAGCACCGAGCAGAAAGUGUGGGUUUAGCCAUAACUACGAGCCAAUGUAGGUACAAAUUCAUUAUUCCCAUUUCUAUAUGGAUGACAGUUAUAGAUGUGAUCACUUAGCUCAGGUUAUACUCCUUGGCAAGAUUAUGACACCUCUCCCCAACGUAAGGCUUUUCCCUUAGGAGAAUGAUACGUUGGACUCCAUGAUAGCUCACAUGGUUUAUGUUGGUUAGAAGAACCCCCCUUACAGAUAAGCUUUUGAAAAGAAACCUCCCUGCUAGUAAAAGUAAAUAAACAACUUUUGAUAAAAUUCCCUACUAGUAAUACUAACACAACAGCUCUUGAAAGAAUUUUCCUACAGUUUAACAAAAAAGAAUGACUGAUAACUGUUCAGCUUUUAGACUUUAAAUAUUAUGGCUCACCAGAUUUACGCAGUAUGUUUUAUUAUUCUUGAUUUAUGAUUUUCAGAUUUUAGUUAUUCCAGCCAUGUGAGUCAUUACAUACAGUAUGCAUAUUCUAUGAAUUUUAAUAACAUUGAGAUAUUACUUUUACUUAUGCAUUCACCCUCAUAUACUCAGUACAUCCUCAAAGUACUGAUCCACAUAUACGUGUAUGUGCUACACUAUCUUAUAAUGUAGGUUCAUGUGCUCAGUCUUUGCAUGUGAGUGAUUUCAGGCAUCUCUAUUUACAUCCCGACAGUUGGUGAGUCCUCAUGGUUCGAGGGUCGAUUUACCUAGAUUUCUAGCUUUCAUAGUAUUUGAGUAGUUGCUUUUAGUUUAUUCUGAGUCAGUUGGGGGUUUGUCCCAAUGGCUCUCCAGUUUCUUAGUAGUAGAGGCUUGUCGGACUACUAGCUAUUAUAUUCAGACUUUCAGUAUUAGUUAUCCAGAUAUUCAGUUGAUCUCAGAAAAUUUUGAUAAUAGUCUGUAUUUUAGCAUUUCUAUCUAAUUAAAUUACUUUAAUGUGAGUUAUAGACUUAGUAGCAGGCUUACAGGGUUAUCUUGAGGCCACUCGUAGUUUUGAGCACCGUGUGACAUCUCAAUACCAGGUUUUGGGGUGUUACAGUGAAUGCGUUCCUUUAGUUGACUUCAAGACCGACUUACUUUGCACAAGACAUUCUUCAAUUAUUUAGGAUUAUGAUUUGUGAAAAUAAGAAGCUGAUGCACAAAGUGAUGACGAAACACCAAUGAGGCCUUUUAGGAAAAUCAGGAAAACGGACUUUACAGAAAUGAAGUUUGAUGAUUUAUUUGUAUUUUGUAUUUGAUAACAUUUAAAUGUAGGUUGUCAGUGACGUAGUUGAACAGUUGUUAAGUUUAGUAACUUACUUUCAGGUUUCAUGUGAAAAGUUAUUUAGAACGUGACAGUUAUAUUUUGAAGAUUGGUACUAAAUUAAAUGAAAUUGAAGGUUUUCAAUUCUAGUUUUAUGUUUAAUAUUUCAUUUCUAAUAGUUGUAUUUUUUAAUUACAUAUGUAUUAAUAGGUUAUUAUACAUUUUUGUGUUCAAACCUUACAUAUAUAUAACUUAGUUGAACAACUAUAUAUUUGUAAUUAUAAGUAUUUCAAAAAGCAAUAAAAAAUACAUCUAUGCAACUGUACACGGAAUGUAAUUAAUUAGAUAUAUAUUAAUAAUUGUGGAAAGAUUUAUAUAGUUUUUAUGUUUGUAAUUAUAUGUACUUUGUGAUUGUACAUCUACCAUCAUAUACGUAUUUAUAUUUUUGUAUGUAUUUUUGUGAUGGUAUAUAUAUCUAGAUAUGUUUUGAUAUUUAUAUGUAUUUUUGUGAUUGUUAAUGCACUAGGAUAUGUAUUUGAAUAUGAAUAUGUGUUAUUUGAAAUUAAAUGUGUAACUGAAAAAAUACUACUGUUUUACAGUAUUUUUUCACAUUCAUUGAAUACUUAUAGAAUCAAUCACAUUUAUUUAUUUAAAAAAAGUUGCAUUUACGAAAAAUGUAAUUGUAAUGUAUUGUAAUACAUGAAACAUAAUUGUCAAUGAAGAAUUAUUCAAAUAUUUUGCAAAUGAGUUCAAUUUUAUGAAAUGCUAGAAUAUUUUUUUUUUGAUUGAAUACAACAACAAUUGUAUCAUUUGUUUAAGGGUCACAAUAGGCAUUCAUAUAACAAUUGUAUCAUUUACGAUAUUUGUUAUAUGAAUGCCUAUUGUGACCCUUAAACCCACAAGCACUACAAGAAUUGGUGAUUUUCUUUUCGAACAUACCCCUUUCAAAUUUUUCACGAUCUUUCUUUGGAGGUCUGCCAAGAGGCCGCUUGGAUUUUCGUGACAGUACUUCCUCAACCAAUAUGAUAUGUGAAAUUAUCCAAUCGUCUUUGUAUGAUAAAGAAUAAAUUGAAACAUCAUAUGUUCUUACUACUAUUUUUGACUUGUAUAAAUCAAAACAAUAUGGUCCCUUUGUAAAAUUUUUGUUAUUCAGGAUUGUACAAGCAUAUGCAUAUUGUAUUUCGUCCAAUUGAAAUGUGUGGCAAGAACAUUUUUUCUUAAGGCAAGCAAUAAAAUGGCUUUCUUUGUCAUAUACUGUGUAGACAUACCCUUUGGUUGGUACAAUCUCAUAUUUUUUUAAAGAAAAAUAAUUAAAGCAGUCAAAUACAGUUGGACAUUAUUAUAUUUUGAGAAAAUACAUCAAAUCCCCCCUCAACUUGUCAGCAAAACUUACUUUAGACCCUAAACUAAUCGGGCAAUUAUAUACCCCCCUUAAUAACUUUCAAGCGAAUUAAAUACAACCUCUACGACUAUCGUGGCAAAAAAUAAAAGAAAAAUGCGUGAGUUUUUUUUUAAAAGGGUCCACUUUAUUUAUAUAUAUAUAUAUAUAUAUAUAUAUAUAUAUAUGUAUGUAUGUAUGUAUGUAUAUAUAUGAAACCCAUUUUCUUCAUAACCCCCUCCCCAACGGUUCCCCCCCAACCUCGACACUGUUUCACACAAGUACACAAGAUCUUGAUCAAUAUUUAUUUGUAACUCAAUGUUCUCAUUAACUUUGUUUGCAUCAACAAUAUCUUAAAUGGAAAAUUCAAUCCUUUUAGUAGAGGGGUUCUUCGAUCGAAAAACAAUCUUGUUUCCCAUCAUGGAUUUGUUAAUGGACUCGAGAACGUAAUCCUUUUAGGCAGUUUGUUGUCAAUGCCUUGUUAAUUUUGACUGUUAAAAACAUUGAGGGAGUGAGAAUUAAAGGUUGAAGUAAGGUUUUAAUGGAGGAAGAACCUUAAUUUAUGUCUUCAUGGUUGUUCUCUGUGGUGUUAAUGGGGAAAAUAAAAAAUAAAUUAGAGGGGGAGAAAUUUUUUUUGCAGGGGUGGGGGUUGGAAGGGGAGAAAGAGAGGGGGUGGGUGGCAUGGACUGAGAAGAAGAAAAAAAAAUGGGUGGGGAAGGGCUGAAAGAGCGGGGCGGAGGGAAUCUGAAGAAGAAGGAGGGGUGGGGGUGUGAAGAAUAAAGGGAUUUAUUUUAUUUCUAUUAUAUAUAUAUUUUAUAUAUAUAUGAAAAUAGUAUAUAUAUAUUUUUUAUUUUUUAAAAAAGUAUAUGAAAAUAGUAUAUGUGUGGGACUAUUUUUUUUUAAAAAAUUAUUAUUUCUUACGUGGCAAUGAUAUGACACUGAUGUGGCACUGAUUUGCCAAUGACAUGGCGCGUGUGUAGUGGAAUCUCCGUUGUGAGAGUGAGAUUGUGAUGUCGAGGUUGUAUUUAAUUCACUUGAAAGUUAUUGAGUUGGGGUAUAUAACUGCCAAUUAGUUUAGAGUCUAAAGUAAGUUUUGCUGACAAGUUGAGGGGGAAUUUGAUGUAUUUUCGCUUAUAUUUUCUGUCAAAUAGGAUGUAUUUUCAUUCACAGUUAAAAAUACAUUUACAGAACUGUAUAUAUAUUUUUACAACCACAACAACAAAUACAGUUUUUAGAGAACUAUACAUAUAUUUUUCAAACAUAACAACAAAUACACUUUUCAAAGAACUAUAUAUGUAUUUUUCAAAACAGAGAUGAAAAUACAUUUUUAUACAUUCAAAUACAUAUAUACAGAUGAGGGUAUAAUUGGUUGUACGAUGCAUUUGUACUCAACAGUAUAGCGUCAGUGAUGUAUUCAUCAUAAUUUGGUUCAUAUGCCCAUCUCCCAGAGUGCUUCACAAAAACAACGAUUUUUCUCAUUUUUAUUUUUCUUCACAUCAAAAAUGUUAUAAAAAACUACAAUAUAUUCAUUCAGUCACAACUACAAUGAGAACAUACAGAUAGAAGCAUUAAGUUAAAACUGCAAUCAAAAUAUACAACAUAGUUCUAAUUAUACAAAUGCAAUCCUAAUAUACAAUUAGACUCUCAAAUCCUCAAAUCCACAUAUUCACAGAAAAUAUACAAAUAAAAUUAUAAUAAACAAAUAAACUGAUAAUAUACAAUUAUACUCAAUAUAUACAAACAAAGCUCUAAAUAUACAAACAUAAACAAAAAUAUACAAACACAAACAAAAUAUACAAAUAAAAAAAAAUUCAUUAUUCUGAAUAUACAAAUACAAUCAUCAAAAUAUAUAAACGCUAUCAAAAUAUUUACAUUUCGGGAAAAAUAAAAUUGAUACUCUUGAAUAAGUACGUAGCAAAAUUGAGUUUGACCAAACAAUAGCUCGAUCAGUUCGAUCAACAUCGAAUUUGAUGAAAUAAUGUAGUCGCCUUAAUUUUUUUAAAAUUCAUAUAUGAAAUAUUCUAAAGCGAUUUGCUAAAAAAAAUGAUUUGACCGAAAAACGAUCAAAUACAAAAAAAUAAUUUCAGAAAAAAUGAAUAAAUAGUUUUAAUUUGCUGAAAUUCAUCCGAAAUUCAUUUUAUGAUUCAAUAUCUGUAACAACAAUGAUGAUUUAUUUUGAAAUACUCAUAUGACCUUAUUUGAUUUGAGGCUUUGUGUCAAUAAGUAGUAUGGUACGGGAGAGUUAUUAGAUACCCAACAUGGUCAGAUUCGAUUCUCCCGUUUGAUUAUUGAUUUAAUGUGUGUUGGAUCAAUGGUAUUGACCUAACCAUUUUCUAUCUCUUUGGGACAUAAAGUUUCUUGCUUUCCUUCAUUUUUCUUUACUUUGAGCUUUUGGUUUUGCUUAAAAAAACUCAAUAGCCAUGAGGUAUUUCUACUUCUCAUAUGCAGGACAUUAGUGGUUUCUUUAAAUUUUUAAAGGUAUGAUUUUAUCCUUAAUGUGCACUUGAAAUGAUCAUGAAUGGUUCUUUUGAGUUGAGACUUAGUCUAUGGUUGUUUGUAGUUCGAUGUUGCUUCGUUCUUUUACUUCUUGCUAAUUUCUUAUCUCCUUUCAUUGCAUGAACUCUUCUCAACGAGUCCAUGGACUUUCCCGUUGCAUAUCUUCGAUUCCAAGUCCCUUUCAAGUCCAAAAAUGGAUUAAAAUCGUGAAGAUCAAGGUUGGAUAUAAAGAUAUACAACAAAGAUACAUUAUAUGCAGGUGGUGGAAGCUAAUCUACAAGUUAGAAAAAGGAAGUUGGUAUACAAAGCAGAAAGAUGAUAUACAGUGUGUAUAUAGCCAAAACGUGGAAAAAGAGGAGCUGAUAUUCAUAUGGUAUACAGUUGAGAAAAGGCUGAAAAAGGUCUAAAAAUAAGGCCCAAAACUUUGGCAGAUUUGAAAUGGGCCAACAAGGGCCGAAAAUUCAUUCUUUAUUCCUUUACCUCCUUGUAUUGAUUUGGAUUAUUUAUUUAGGAAAAAUUUCAUAAGUAGCAAACUUAAACUCAUAAUUAGGAACUUCCUAGCACCUAUUUUAUAAUUACCUAAAAUAGCAAGUUGUAUUUUGUAUUUUAGACAAAAUUUGCUACAGAUAUACAUAUACAAGAGAAAUUAUUGUCCCCUUUUUACUCUAAUCAAUUGAGUUAAAUAAGGGAUAAUUAUCCUAUGUAUUAGAAGCUAAGAUUCCUUUUCCAUAAAUGACUCUUAUUAAAUAAAGGAUAAUUAUCCCAUGUAUUUAAAGCUGAAGAUUCAUUUUCCAUAAAUGACUCUUACUAAACGUAAUUGACAUUAUUCUUCAACAACUAAAAUCAAUAUUCAAAAUGCCAUUCUACAGUAUAAUUUUCAACAAAAAAUCAAACUCUAAGUAGUUGAAGAUUCUUAUCUUUAUGAUCUUCAAAAUGCAAUUUUCUAUUUUUUAAAAAAGUAUAUGAAAAUAGUAUAUGUGUGGGACUAUUUUUUUUUAAAAAAUUAUUAUUUCUUACGUGGCAAUGAUAUGACACUGAUGUGGCACUGAUUUGCCAAUGACAUGGCGCGUGUGUAGUGGAAUCUCCGUUGUGAGAGUGAGAUUGUGAUGUCGAGGUUGUAUUUAAUUCACUUGAAAGUUAUUGAGUUGGGGUAUAUAACUGCCAAUUAGUUUAGAGUCUAAAGUAAGUUUUGCUGACAAGUUGAGGGGGAAUUUGAUGUAUUUUCGCUUAUAUUUUCUGUCAAAUAGGAUGUAUUUUCAUUCACAGUUAAAAAUACAUUUACAGAACUGUAUAUAUAUUUUUACAACCACAACAACAAAUACAGUUUUUAGAGAACUAUACAUAUAUUUUUCAAACAUAACAACAAAUACACUUUUCAAAGAACUAUAUAUGUAUUUUUCAAAACAGAGAUGAAAAUACAUUUUUAUACAUUCAAAUACAUAUAUACAGAUGAGGGUAUAAUUGGUUGUACGAUGCAUUUGUACUCAACAGUAUAGCGUCAGUGAUGUAUUCAUCAUAAUUUGGUUCAUAUGCCCAUCUCCCAGAGUGCUUCACAAAAACAACGAUUUUUCUCAUUUUUAUUUUUCUUCACAUCAAAAAUGUUAUAAAAAACUACAAUAUAUUCAUUCAGUCACAACUACAAUGAGAACAUACAGAUAGAAGCAUUAAGUUAAAACUGCAAUCAAAAUAUACAACAUAGUUCUAAUUAUACAAAUGCAAUCCUAAUAUACAAUUAGACUCUCAAAUCCACAAAUUCACAGAAAAUAUACAAAUAAAAUUAUAAUAAACAAAUAAACUGAUAAUAUACAAUUAUACUCAAUAUAUACAAACAAAGCUCUAAAUAUACAAACAUAAACAAAAAUAUACAAACACAAACAAAAUAUACAAAUAAAAAAAAAUCAUUAUUUUUAAAUAUACAAAUACAUUCAAGAAAAAAAUAAAAUUUAGACUGCUAAUGCCUACGUAGUAAAAACAGUGAUUAUAGCUUAACAUAUUCAUUGUUUCAAUCCCAUCAAAAUCUCUGGUUAUAUUUAAAUAUUAUAGAAAUAUAGCUAUUAUUAAGGAUGAUAACAUAUUAAACUAUCAUUUCAUGUCUGCAUCUAAUGGUUUUUCAUAAAAUUUUUAGUUUGCCAAAUUUAAUUUUUGUAUCGUGAUAUAAAAGUCCAUAAACUAUAAGAGAACUAAUUUUUUUUUAAAUAAAUGCAUAAUAUUCGUAAAUAUUUUAAGAAAAAAAGUACUUGAAACAUAACUAAGUUUUCAACUUCUUGUUAUAUUACAACUAAUGGACAAAAUUGGUUCACAUCAAUUAGCACAUAUUCAUAAGUUUGAUCAAGUAUUAUCUAAGAUCAAAUAACGGCGACAUUCGAAAAAUAAUAGAUUUCGAUCAAUUUUUACAAUACAAAACGAGAAUAAACUUUUUUAAGUUGAAAAAAAUAAUUUCACACAAAAUGAUCUCAAUUUCGCAGACCGAGAAGAAAAAGGAAUUGUUGAAAUUCAUAUACAAAAUCAAAUUUAUUAUUCAAUACUUGUAACAACAGUGAUAAUUUUUUUUGAAAUUUAGAAGCUUAUCAAUAAAAGAAUCUUCAAUUUGAUUUUGAGAUUGAUUUUAAUUGCUGAAUUUAGUUCAAUAAAAAUGAAUCUGAAUUUUGAUUUCAGUAGUUGAAUAAUAACAACACACUGGUUAAUAAGAGUCAUUUAUGAAAAAAGAAUCCUCAGAAUUAAAUACAUGACAUAAUUUAAGGGAUUGAUUUUUUUUUUUAACUCAACUGAUUUGAGUUAAAUAAGGGGCUGCAAUUUUGUUUGUUUCUGUAUUUAUCUAGCAAAUUUUUCCUAAAAUACAGAAUACAACUUGCUAUUUUAUGUAAUUAUGAAACAAUUGCUAUGAAAGUCCGAACUAUGAUCAUAAUUUUCUACUUAUGAAAUUUUCCCAAAAGAACUAGAAAAAGCCUAGGUGGUGAGUUGGCCUAGAUUGCACAGGCUCAUCUCUUAUAUAACCCCUCACGCUAGAUGUCUAUCCCAACUUGGAAAGUAAAAUUAUGUGUCGCUCCUCUAUCAAUGAUUUAGUAAAAAGACCAACUAAUUGGAUAGAGGUAGGAAUAUAUUGCAAGGUGUGCGAGCAUAAUUAACUAAUAAAAUGUGUGUUUUUUUUUUCUAAAAAAUUAAUUUUUUUGUGAGAUGGUCAUCCACUUUAAUAUAGUAUCAGAGAACACAGUGAUUCAAAAAUUGAAUCUCAAUGCCACUCAUUAUGAAAAAUAAUUUACCUCACACACUGCAGUUUCUCCCGCGUAAAAAAAACAAAGGACAACUAAUAAAUUAUGAUAUUUUACAAGGAUACAUCCAUCGUUUCAGCUUCUUAAAGUAACUUCAACCAACAAAUAUCAUCAAUGGACUGCUUAAUUAUAUAUGGUCUUCUCUUCAACUAGAGAAGUGCUUUAAAGAUGAAAAAAUUACACAAACUAGCAUACCUAAGACAUUAAUUACAAUUAAUAGAAAUAGUUUUUCAAAAUUACAACUAAUAGCAAAAAUAGCAAUAUUUUAGCUUUUUUAUUCAGAAGCGCGUGACUUUAACCAUUACCCUCUUUUCACGCCAUUUUACCUUUAUAUUACCCUAUUAUCACGCUAAUUUAUCAAUUUCAAUUCCUCUCAAUAUCUUCUUCGGCUAUUUUUUCAUAAAUUUUAUUUUUUUUUCUCUCCAAUUCUUGAUAAACAUUGUCCCCCAUCUAUUAAGGUAAGUUGAUUUUACAGUUAAAAAUCUUAUCUUUUUCAUAUAACUUUUUUUGUAAUUUAUUUUUGGCAUUCUUUUUCCACGUUCUUCUGCGUUUUUUUUUGUGUGUGUUGAACAUGAAACUCAACAUGUAAUGAUCCAAAAAUGAGGAUCAUGAUGGCACUUAUCGCGGCAUACCUUGACAAGUAAGCCUAUCACCCAAACUGAUACGAAAAGAAAAAAAGAAAGAAAUAUCCCACGGUAAGGAUUCUAGAAUGAAGCCGAACCAUAUAAGUAAUCUUAACAAUGCUGAAAGAAAUUAUCCAAACUACCAAUCAUGUCCAAAACCAGGUGUCAAUAGUGUAAGAACUACUAAUAUAAUCCAAGAGCCAAAUGCAUCGGAAAAAUAACCACAAAUGAAUAAUAUCUGUCUCCAAAUACUAAUAAAGACAUAAUUACUGUAGAAGGAUAGAGGUGAACUUCAGAUGUAUGAAUGUUCAACAGCUACCUUGAAAGCUCCAACAAUCGCCCAAGUCAAGCAAGCUAAGGUACUCUUGAGCUAGGACUUGCACCGAAAGGGCGCAGUAGGCAUGAGUACGGUCCACUUGUACUCAGUAGGUAUCAUAGGCCGAUCAAGCAAAGUACUAAAUAAAGCAUACAAAAUAUACACUAAGGGCACGUCACCUGCAAUCAGAAAAUAUCCUAGAACGGUAGCCCACACCGCUUGCAAUAACAGUUCUAAUAUAUCUCACAUAUAUUACAACAACACACCAAGAUAUAGAACACAAGUAUACAUUAUGUCAAAUAUAAAUAGAAUAAGAGAGAGCAUGUAGAUACAAGAUCAUCAAAUAAUAGUAAAAGAAGGUAAGACAAAUACAUAGAUGACAAGUCAACAAGGCAAUACAACACAACAUAAAACAAUAAAGUAAGUGCAAUGUAUAUGAUGAUGGUGAUGAUGAUGAUGAUGAUGAUGAUGAUGCACGAGGUCGUUGCACAACUUCCGAGAUCAUCGCACAAUCUCCGUAUACACCUACGGAGCUAAACCUUUCCGACGUAGGACCCAAGGGGGGUUCGUUAAUCCAUAUACAAUCCACAUAUUCCAUAUCUCCUUUCUGGUACAUCCCUUAGAAAGGGUUUUAUAAGGUGUUACAAUAUCUUUUAAAAAUGUGUUGCCAGUGUUUCUCAGAUGUUGCCACAGUGGUACCAAUGUUUCAUAAAUGAGUAUGAUAUGAAGAUGUAAUGCUCAUAACCAAUCACAAUGAGUAUUUCCAAAAACAAGCACAUGAUAUAUUUUCACAAUCAACCACAAUGAUACAUUUCCACAACUAUAUACGCCAAUAUCCGCUCACUAUUUUCGUAUCAUCCAUGAAUUUUCACAUGUCUCAUUUACCAAUAAAGUAUGAAUAUAAUCAUCAUACACCAAUGGUACCACAUUAGCAUUUUAACAACAUAAUAUAAUUAUUCAAAUGUAUUCAAGACUAUCAAUAUCACAUAGGACCCCACACGGUCACACAUAUCACAUAAUAUCUCAAUUUCGACAAUUACAUCACAUAUAAGUCCCCACACGGGCACAACACAUAGAUAAAUACUUUUCAUGAUUAGUUCCCACCCUUAACAUGUAUUUUAUACCAUCAUUUACCACCCAGCCCAGUCUGAAGAGUUAAGCCAUAACUUACCUCGAAAGCCGAGAUAGGUCCGCUACACUUGAACUCGCGACCUUAUUUUUCAAGAACAAUCUUGAACUCCACUAGAACCAUAAAAUCUGAAAUCUACGCAUCAAAAUAAAACCAACGACACCCAUAUUGACUAUUUUUGGUUCGAGGUUAAAAUGGACCCCCAAAUGAGUUUUCGAAAAAGAAGGGCAAAAUUGGAACUUUACUUCAAAAACAUGUUUUUCAUAUUUUUAGGAACCUACAACUGAAAAUCCAAGUUAAAUCGAGUAAAAAAAAUGGGGUUCAAAUCAAAGAAAAACUAUUUUUGAGCUUUACCGGGUAAAACCUUUGAAAUCCAGGUUAAAAUCAAGAAUCGGAGUUGUUUUGAAGAUUAAAUUGAUGAAAAACUAGUAAUUAUAAGACAAAAAUAUUAUUCAAGUGAAAUGUGUGAAAUUUGAGUUCAAAAUCAUGCCCUAAAAUUUUUGGAGUUUUGUGGAAUUUAUCACGAAGCUAUUAAAAAAAGGGGUGAAUUCUUACCUUAAAUUCGUAAUAAAACCAAGAAAUAGAUGUUAAUCUAGCUUUCAAAGCACCCACAAGAUUCACUUUUAAUCUCUCAAACUAUUUAGGGUUUAACUCUCAAGAGGCAAGAUGAAAAAUGAACAAAAUAAGCCAAAAAGGGGUGAAAAAGCUGUUUAUAUUGCAGAAAAUCUGCAAUAUAACUGCUGGUUUUUUCUUCUAAAGUCGAAACGGAUUUCGACGGGAUGCUCGAAAUUCGUUUGGAGUUCGAUAUGUACAAACUAACUAUGCAACCAUACUAAAUUCAACGUUUUGGAUGCGAUGGCGAUAUCAGAUUUUCAAAAAAAAAAAUCAUUUUCACAACUUGACCCCCGAAAAUCGAAAUUAUAAUUUUCUAAAUCGAAGGUUGAAAUGAGAUUUAAAAGCCGUAAUAUCAUACCAAGUAUGCUAACAUCCUUAAAUCAACAUUUUGGAUCUGCUGGUGUAGUCGAAUUUUCCAUCAGAGGUUGUUUCAAUCAAAUGUGGAUCCCACACCCAUAUUUCCAAUUUUCCAACUUUCUGACCAAUUGGUCGAAAUAAGAUCGGGUGCAUCGGGACCCUAACCAAAGGUCUACCUAGAUUAAAAUGGAUAUUCUGGAGCUGUUGGCAUAGUCCGUUUGUCCAUCCAUCACACGGAUUAAAAUAUAUCCACAUUAGUCAAAAAUAAGGCUCCCAAAGCCAUCAAAAAUCACAAUAUUGCAUAAAUAAUACAAAAAUACAUCAAAAAUCAUGUCAACUACUCCCACACCCCAGAAAUACCAUAAUGCAACUAUGGAGAGGGGUAAAAUAGUCAUAUCACAUAAAACCAUAAAUUUCACAUAUUUCAUUAAAUUUUUAGGUCGUUACACAACAGAUCCAGUAUUGAAAACCCAUGGUUUGUCUUCGAUCUUCAUACUCAGGAUAGUGCAUGGUUUCAGCUGACAAGCAGAUAAAUUGUGCCACUUUGAUUGUUAAUAUUUAGUGCAUUUUUCUUCUUAUCAGAAAUAGUUGCUUACAAAGAGGAAGUGCUUUUGAAUGUUCUUAUUUGUAUUUCUUUCUUAGGUUGUGUUUUGGAUUGCCCAACAACUUUUCUGGUUUAUUUUUGUCCUAUUUUGUUUGGGGGUAGGGGUGGGGUUGGAGGACGUAGUCUCCUUUUAUGAUCUUGGGCAAUCCUUACCUCAUGAGUGAAUUGGACUCCUGGUUGUCCUACUCUAUAGUUUGGUGAAUCUACUGGUCCAGAAUAUAAAGUAAACAUUGCAAGACAUUAGAAGAAAAACUUGUGGCAAAUCGUCGGGAAAUUAAAGCGUUAUUUGGAGUUGAUAAGGCAUUUAAUCUUUUAGUAAGAUAGUUCUUAGUAUUAUCUUGUGGAUAGAGGCGUUAGUUUAUUUUUCAUACCGCACUACUUUAUAUGCACUUAUCUUUUGUGUUUGUUAUACUGUUAUCGGUUCAAAGCUUGGAGUUUAUCGAAAACAGUCUCUCUACUUUACCCGAGGUAGUGGUAUGGUCUGCAUACACUUUACCCUCCCUAGACCCCACUAUGUGGGAAUACACUGGGUAUGUUGUUGUUGUUGAUUUUUGUGUGUUGAAAUUUUUGGUGUUCCACUAUAAUGGCAGAACAUGCAAAUCGUAGUAGUUCAGUUAGAUGUAUUCCACCGAUGAAUUUUAGCAGUUCUAUCUCAUCUUUUCAUAUAAUUUAUAUUUUUUUAUUUUUUUGUAUUGCUUUCUUCUUCAUUUUUUUUGUUUUGGUGUUUUGUAUUUUUUGGUGUUUUUCCAGCCAAAGGAUGCCGUUUUCGGUGAUGGGUGGGUUGGUGGCUUCGAUUGGACUCGUCGGUUUUGGAGUUUCCCAAUGGAUUUUUGACGGAGGAAGGGUAUAUCCGGUUGAUUUCACCAUGACAGUGAGCGACAGCGGCAGUAAUGGUUUUUUAUCGGCGAGUAUUAGCCGGAACUGAUCACAGGAUUGAAUUUUAGUCGCUGGUUUUGCAGAUACGGCAAGGGACGGGCUUGACCAUCAUUUUUAUGGAUUUUUUGGUGAUGUGGUUGCGGCGAGUCAGUAUAUUCCGGAGAUAUUUCUAUAAAAUAUAAUUUUUACAGUAUAAAUAUUUAUUUGUAUUUGGUAAUUAUAAAAUUUGUAUUUGAUAUUGAUAAGAUUUGUAUUUGUUAAAGUGUAGAUAUGUAUUUGUAUUUGGUAUUGUAAGAUUUAUAUUUGUUAUGGUAUAGAUAUAUAUUUUAUUAUUUGUAAUCUUAUAUUUUAUGGACAAUAUGUUCAUAUAUGUAUUUUUGUCUUUAUAAUGUGAAAAUAUGUAUCUGUUAAAUUUAAGAUAUGUAUUUGUAUUUUAGGGAUUAUAUAAGAUGUAUUUGUUACAGUAUAGAUAUAUAUUUGUAUUUGCAGGGAUUGUGGUUUAUAUAUGAUGGCAUAUGCUAAGUGUCUUACUUUUGGUGAAUGUGUUCCAAAUGUUGACUUUGAUUCAGAUCUUCGUCGCAUGAUAUAUGCUUCAAUGUUAUGGCAUUAUGGUUCGAGGAAAUAAGAAGAGAAGGCACAAAGUGAUGAUGAAGCACUAAUGAGGCCUCCUGUGGAAAUUGGGAUAACAAAAGAUACUGAAGUGCAUGAUAUUUGAUGUUUAUUUUGAAUUAGUUGUAUUUGACAACAGUUAACUUUAGGUGGACUAACAUUUAGUUGAAUAUUUCUUAGGUUUCAUAUGUUACUUUAAUGUUGAUAGUCGAUAUUUUAAUGUUUAUUUGAUGCGGUAUUUAGAUUUUUGAUGUUUAAACUAUAAAUAAAAUUUUUCGUGGUUAGUUUAUGUUACUGUUAUGCAUAUGUUGGUAUGAAUAUGUGGUUUCCAGUUUUGAAUAUAUUUUUGAGUAAUUAAUAUGUAUAUUCCAGUUACUAUAUGUAUUUUUUAUAUAUGGAUUUGUAUUUUCCAUUUUAUGCAUAUGUAUUUUGAGUAAUGCAAAAGUAUUUUAAGUAAUGCAUGUUUUUUUUUUCCAAAUAUGCAUAUGUAUACACUGGGUUUGUUGUUGUUGUAUAUAUAUGUAUAUACAUUUGUCUGAAUAUGUAUUUUUUGGCUAUGCAUAUGUAUAUGUAUUUGUCCAGUUUAAUACAUAUGUAUUUAACCAGAUAUACAUAUGUAUUUAUGAGUUAUCCAUAGGUUUUUUUCAAUUAUGCAUAUAUAUCUAUGAAUAAUGCAUAUUUAUGUAUGAUUAAUGCAUACAUUUUUUUUUAAAAAAAUAUGUAUUUAAAGUUUUGAUUACGUAAUUGAUAUGUCUUUAUAUGUAUUUUUUAUUUUUUUUAUUUAUUACAUAAAUUUAUAUUAACUUAUUCUUAGUUUUUAUAGAUGGGCAUAGGAACUUAAUAGAUUCUCAUAUGUAUUUUUUCAGAUUAAAAAUUUGGUAAGUGUGGCUUCCAGUUUCUUAGGUUUAAAUCAAUGAUGUUAUAUGUCUUGUAUAAUAUAUUCAUAAUGAAUUAAGUUAAGCAAGUUCAUUAAAAAAAUUACAACAAUUUAACUAUAACAAGUUCAAUAGCAUCAAACAUUUUUAUCAAAAUUUAGAAUCAUAUAAUUAUCAGUGAAAAAAUGAAGCAAUUAUUUUUUGAUAUAAUGCUACAUCAUGAACAGAUCAAUAUUUAAACUAUAACUGCAACAUUUAAACUCUAACAAUAUUAUUGUACAUUUUUCCAUAGACGCCACAUACAUGCAUAAUGUGGUACAUCAUUGUACACACCACCAACAACUUUUAUGAUACUUGCAUUACGAUCAGAAACUACACACAUAUGUUUUCUUUCACCGUAUGCUUCCUUCAGAUUCUUAAAGAACUAAGUUCAAGAUGCAUCAUUUUUAGAAUCAAGUACACCAUAUGCCAAAAAAAAUAUAGGUCCUGCAUAUUGAAAAAAUACAUAUAAGAAUACAUGAUUUUUACACAUAAAAUACUGUAUAUGUAUAUUAUAAAUACAUACAGCUGGAAACAUAUGAAACUGUCAGUGAACUAAUAAACAUACUGCAAUUCAUAUUAUAAAUACAUUCAGCUGGAAACAUAUGUAAUCUUCAUAAUGUUGUUCAUAUGUCCAUCUACAAGAGUGUUUAACAAGAACAAGUAUGCUUCCCAUUGUCAAUCUCCAGAACACAAAAAAACAGUAAAAAUAAAAUUAAAUAUCAAAUACGUACUAUAUACGACAACUAAUUCAUAUAUACAAAAUUGCAAAAUAAUUUCCAACGGAAAGAAAUCUUUUAUUUGAAUACUAUAAUAUUAAAUUAAAUUAAUCAAACUCUGUAAAAUAAUUGCAACAUUUGUACUAUAACAAAUUAACAAGUUCAAAAUUUAGAAUGACAUAAUUCUUAAUAAAAAAAUUCAGCAAUUGUAUUUUGACUAAAAACAUUAUCAAACUUAUCAUUUGUUGUAUUUCCUACAUGAAUGCCUUUUGUGACCUUUAAACCCACAUGAACUACAAUAAUUUUUAGUUUUCUUUCCGAACAUAUCUCUUCCUGAUUUACCACGAACAAUGCAUCAUGUGACUUUCUAAUUUUUUUUUUCACAUUAUCCCAUAUAUGCCAUAUACAUGCAUAAUAUGGAAUAUUAUUAUACACAUUAGCAACAACUUUUAUGAUGCUUGCAUUACGAUCGAAAACUAUGCACAUAUAUUUUCUUUCACCAUAUGCUUCCUCCGAAUUCUCAAAGAAUCAAAACCAAGAUGCAUCAUUUUCAAAAUCUAAUACACCAUACGCUAAUGGAAAUAUAUGUCCUGAACAUGGAAAAAAUACAUAUAAGGGUACAUGAUUUAUACACAUAAAAUACUGCAUAUGUAUAUUAUAAAUACAUACAACUGUAAACAUAUGUAACUGUCAAUUAACACAUAAACAUUAUGCAUAGCUAUAAUAUAUAUACAUAUACCUGGAACCAUAUCUAAAUCCUAGUGAACACAAAAAAAGAUUGCAAUGUAUAUUAUAAAUACAUAUAACUUGACACAUAUAUAACUGCCAGUGAUUUCAUAAACAUACUACAUAUGUAUAAUAUAAAUACAUAUAGCUGGAAACAUAUGAAACAGACAAUGAACACAUAAAUAGACUGCAUACGUAUAUUAAACACUUUUACAGGUCAAAUCUACAUUAAUGUGAGAAACCAGUAGGGUGUAGAGUUGGCUAUACAAAGCAUUUAUGUCUAACAAUAUCAAUCACUAAUGUAAUAUUCAUAUUGUUGUUCAUAUGUCCAUCUACCAGAGUGUUUAACAAGAACAGGGAUACUUCUCAUUGUCAAUUUUCAGAACACUAGAAAAAGUAAAAAUAAAAUUAAUUAUCAAAUACGUACUUUAUGCAAUAAAUAUUUCAUAUUUAUAAAAAUGUAAAACGAAUUCCAACAAACAGAAAUAUUUUUUUUUUGAAUACUAGUUAUCAUCGACUAAAAUUCAAAUUUAUCCUAUAACAAUUGUAUCUCAAAUUUCAAUUAAAUAACGACAUGGAUAAAUUUUAAUUUGAAAAAAAUAAUUCGCUCAAAAUAUUUUAUUCGAGAACUGAUAGAAUUCAUAUACAAUCUCAAAUUUUGGAAUUCCACGACUGUUACGCAACUUUGUUGCAAGUUUUUCAGCAAUUCUUGCAAUACUUUUUUUUUAUAAAAUUCACAAACAACAUCAAGUUUGUUUAUUGAUACCUGUAAUUGGAGCGUUGUAUUUUUAAUAUUUUUUUCAGAAUUUCAGACGACCAUCAACAAUAUUGGAAGCACUUUGUUUUUUGAAUUUCCUUUGAGUUAUUGUUUAUGAAAAACGUUGUUUGAAUUUGCAUUAUAUUGAUGUAAAUUAAUGGUUGAGGUAAAAAUAAAAGAGUCAUAUAAGGUAAAGGAAUCUGUUUAAUUAAAUGUGGCAUAAAUUAAGGAACAAUUUCAUCCCUUAUUUAACUCUAACUGAUUAAAGUUAAAGAAGGAACGAAUACCUUAUUAGUAUAUGUAUUUUUAUAGCAACCUUUUACUAAAAUACAGAAUACAUAUUUUUAUUUUUCAUAAUUUUGAAACUGUUGCUAUAAAAGUUAUAAUUAAGGCUCCACAAUUGCUAUUUCAGAAUUUUCCCCUUUAAAGAUAAACAAACAAAAUAUGGACUUGUAUAGUGAUUGCCUGUGUAUUAGUCCAAAUGUGUGAUUCCUUCGUAAAUCAAAUUGGGCUUAUAGAGUAAAUGGGAUGAUUGUAGGAAGAACCAUCUGAUACUUAAAAAGAGAAAAAUUUUCAUAAAAGCAUAACUUAAGUUACUAAAAUUACUAAAAAUUUCUUCACUUUUUAAAAAUUUAUAUAUAUAUCCUAACUUUUAUUAUUUUAACUAAAAGUGAAGAUACAUCCUAAGUACAUUCAUUUUUAUCGGACACAACUUUACUAACUCAAUAAACCAUUUCUUCCUCCUUCAACAACAGAUUUGGUGGUGUGUUUUCAUCCCACAAUUUUCUCUAUUUCUUCACAUUUUUUAAUUAAGGAAUUUUUUCUCAAAUUCAUCUUUUCUAUCUUCUUAUCAAGCUCAAUGGUUUUGUAAAAAAUUAAAUUAGACAACAUAUUAAAUUGAGUCUAAGGUUAUUUUAUUUACAUUAUUGAAUAAAGUCUUAGUUAUCAAUUUUGUAAGACGAUAUCAGUUCAAUUCACAAAAUGAAUAUAGAUUUAGGACCAUCUUUUAGUCUUGAAAUCUCUUAAAUAGAAAACAUUAAAUAUUGUGAUGAUGUUGUUAAUUUUGUUCCUGGUGUUUUGACAAAGAUUCUAAUAUUUUGAUGAAAAUAGUGUCAAACACAAAAACGAUCCUGCUGCAACCAAGUUAUGCAAAAAAGGCUAAGAAAAAGGAGUGCAUGAUUCUAAGAAAAGAGGAUCCACCUGUUUGGGAGGUGUAGUUCGUGCAAAAAAAAAAGAAGAGUUGUCAAAGUUACAAUUAAAGACAUUUCAAAGGUAUUGCAUGUUUGUUAUUGGGCAAUAAUUUAGAUCGGGAUACAUUUUUGGAUACAUCUGAUACUUUUCUUAAUCUUGCAUCUAUAUGUAUGUAACUGUGUACGUUUAUGUAUCUCUCAUUUUACUUUGUUUGUGUGAAAUAUGCAUAUGAAUAAAGUAUUAAUAAUUAUAGUAUGUAUCUCUCGUUAUUUAUUUUUGGGUGAAUUAGGUAUGUGAGAGAUACAUACUAUUACAAUAAAAGAUACAUUUAAUGUUGUCAUAUGUAUAAUAUCUAUCUAUUACAAGCUAUGUUAAAAUAUAUAUAUAUAUAUAUUAUAUUUAUGUUUUUCGUAAUCUCACAUGUAUCAUAUAUCUCUUACAAAAUUAAUUAUUUUUUUGUAUGUCAUUUUUUAGGGGAUAUGUUAUAAAGUAGAUUUCACCUCAUCUUUUAAGAUUUGGAAGCUCCUAUAAUGCAAAGUUCAAAGAUGAUUUAAAAUAGAUUAUCGGACAAGAAGUACUUGACUUGUUUGUUCAUAUGAUUUAUUGGGCGUUAUCUCAAUAUUUCACUGUUCAAUUAUAUUGGAAAAAUUAAAAAAAUAUAUUCUUAUACUUGAGAUUCAGCAAAACAAUUCAGAUAAAAUGCAUGUCUUCGUCAAGGGCGAUGUUCUUAGAUUUUCACCUUUGAAUUAGCCUUACUUACUGAUUUAAAAUGCACCGUUGAUAUAGAAUAUUUCAUAUAGCAUGAUUCAUCUCCUAACAGCCUGAUGCAGAAGUAUUUCUCACAGUCAACAAAUGGUAUUGAUAAGCAAACAUUGGUACAACGUUUUCUCAUGAGAAAUUUUGAUAACAAUUAAGAUAUACUCCAGAUGGCCAUAUUAUACUUAAUCCAUACAUUUUUAGUUUUUAGUUAAAAAAUGUACAUUUCCAUUGUCAGAUUUAAAGAUGAUCGAGGAUGGAAAGUAUGAAGAUUUUCCUUGGGGUAAAGUGGUGUUCUUAAAGUUGAUGACUUCUUUGAGACAAUUCUAUUAUGUAGAGAAGCAGUUAUAUAGGUUGUGUGAAAUGUCUCAUGUGCUUAAUUUGUGAAUGCUUGAAAGCUGCUCCAAAGUUGAAAAAAUCACUGCAGUUCAAUUGGAUAAUCGGAUCUCAAAGAUUUUGAAUUGAAAUAUUGUUGCAGUCAGGCCGCAAUACAAUCACUUUAUGUCCGAAAAUUUAGCAAGGUAAUUUAGUCAUGGUUAAAAGUUUAGACAUCUUUUGUAUCUAUUAAUAAAUAUCAUGAAUCAUUAUUAAUUAGAAUACAUAUUUUGUUUAACUUUUACAUUUUAAUUCAUCUGAGUUGAGUAUUUUAAUACGAGUAGGUGUAUGUAUUUUAUACCCUGCGAUGAAUUAAUUUUGUUUAAUUUUUUUUUUUGUGUUUGUUUAUAAUUUUUAGCACAGUACCUAUAUUUCAACCUUGUACCUAUGGUGGAGGAUCUCAAUAAACUAGACUUAUUUCUAGUUACUACUGCUUCAUUUGAUCCUUCAAUAGAGAGUAUACCGUCAACGUCUUCAGGUAAGAAAAGGCAAAUGAAACCAAACUUACUAAAGAACCUGUAUCCACCCAUCAUGAUGUUUUUGAGGAUUUCAAUACUUCACCUUCUGGGCAUCUGAUUAAGAAAACACCGCAUGUAUCAGUUAUUAUUUCUGCCUCUUUAGGCAAGAAAAAAUAGUUUCAGUCCAAAAAAAGAUACCCGUUGAAGGAGAAAUUGAGGCAAUUGCUUCAAAAGAAAAUCGUUCAGACAAGACACAUAAAUCUUUCAUUGAUCUCAUUUCCUACACUGGUAAAGAAACUUUAGAUUCUCAUUUUCAAGAUCAAUGAAUAUCACCACAUAAAUUGAAAAAAGUGAUUGAAGAAUCUGCCAAUAAACCUCUGAAUCAAUCAAUGGUAGAGUCUGACUAAGAAUUAUUUAAGUCAGAGGUGAAGUCAUUUAUCAAUACCUAUAUAAACAUCAUUUUAAUAAUGUCCAUUCAAUCUAUAACGACCCACCAGUCGUUUGUGAAAUUUUCUCAUCUUUCCUAUUUUAGCUUUUCCCAUAGUUUAUGUGCGGGAAUUAUGACUCAAGGGAUAAGUAGUACCAAUUCUUGAGGUGUUCAAAAGUAAUUAAUUCAUUAGUUGGAUUAUUGGGUUCUAAUUAAGUUAAGCUUGAUAAUGAUCAAGUUCGAUCAAGAUGAUCCCGAAUAAGUGUUUUAGUGAUUCCAAUAGGUUUGGAACAUACUUUUUAGUCAAUUUACAUAUUUAAUUUAUUUAUAAAGAGUUUUGAAAAUUUUUUGAGAAAUUAUUAAAAGUUUUGGGUAUUAAAUAAUACAUUUAAUUAGAAGUAGUGGGUCAAAACUACAACUAUUUUCUUCUCAUAUAACCCACGCUAGUUAAGUCAGUAAAUUUAACUUUGAACUGUAGCAGAAGUUGAAACAAGUAGGGUUCAUGCAUAGUUGAGUUGGGAAGAAGAGGUUCUCGACAACUUAAGAUUAGUUUAAUUUAAGUUAAUUAAGUCACAAUAACAACAGCAUGGCAAUUUGUGUAUGUGAACGCCAUAGGCUUCUAUUUCUUGGAAAGGAAUUAGAAAGAUUCCUUUACAAUAAUGACUAUAAGUAAUCAUUAAUUAUAAAGUUAUAUAAUGGAAAGGAAAAGAAAAAAAAUCCUUGGCGAAAUCACCGAUCAAUAAUGAUGAGACAAUGAUGAUAAUGAAUAGCAGUAUAGUUACUGGUUUUUGUUGCUGCUAGGUUAAGAUCCGAGGAUUUUCUCAAAAAAUUAUCAAACACACACGAUUUGUAUUUUUUUAAAUUAAUUUGGUUGUAACUUUGGGGUUUUUAAAGCUAAAAUUUAUAAAACAAAUGUCAUUAGAUUCAUAUUUUUAUGGGGAUUAUAUAUUGGAACAGAUUUUGAACAUUCCAUAACUUUGAGGAAGGGCAAGACACUUGCAGACUAACUAUAUUCGGAAUUAUUGGUUUAGGUAUGUUACGAUUUAAUUAGAUUUUAGACUUGAUUUAAUUGUGUGUAUGCUCCUAAAUUGGAUACUUGUUGAUUGGUAUUCGAACAUGCUUGAAAUUGAUAAUGUUUGGAUUGUUGACGUGUGUCUAAAUAAUUAUUAAAAAUUUACUUGAUGGAAUUAUUCUAUGACUUUAAGUGUACUUGUAAACUUGGUACAUCGUAUUGUAUGCUGUGAGGUAGUGUAAAUUUGAUAGGGAGAUUACUUAUUUAUGGUGGAUUGGGUACCACGCCGAUAUGAAUAAGUAUAUUGAUAUUACUUGUUUAUGAUAGAUCGGGUACCACGCCGGUACAAAUAUCUAUAUUGAUAUUAUUUAUUUAUGGCGGAUCGGGUACCACGGCGGUACAGAUAUGUAUAUUGAUAUUACUUGUUUAUGGUGGAUCGGGUACCACACCGGUACGAAUAUGUAUAUUGAUAUCACUUGUUUAUGAAGGAUCGGGUACCACACCAGUAUAUAUAUGUAUAUUGAUAUUACUUAUUAUUGAGGAUUGGGUACCACCCCAUACGGUAUAUGAACAUAGUUUGUUCCCUACAAGUCAUGACUAUUUAGGCAAAAAUAAGUCCAAUAGCAUGUGUGUAUAUAUUUGUGUUGAUUCUGUGGAUGUUUACAGUAUGGUUGAUACUCUUGAUGGUUAUGCGGCUUAUUUAUGAGCAUUGUUUGACCUGUUAUUGUUGUAUUGUUGAUUCAUUGAGUAUUUGUUAUUUGAUGAUGCCUGUCUACUUGUUAUUUGAUUUAUGAUGCGUACAUGUUAUUAAAUUGAGUUGGCCUAUGAUACCUACUAGUACAUAGUAGUUUGCACUAAUACUACCCUGUACUCUUCUUUUGUUGAGUUCAGAAAGUAUUCCAGAUGCUCAGGCAUGACCUCAGCUCUAGAGUUUAAUGGUAGAUCAUGAUCCAAGGGUGGCCACUCCGUCUCCAGGCUGCCAUGGGUUAUCUUAUUUGUUUUUGUCCAUUUUUUGGGCAAUGAAACAUUCUUUAUUUACUUUAUUUAUGGAAAUCUCUUUUAUGCUUAAUCUUUCUUAGGAGUUCUUGUAUGAUGACUUUUGGGUCUUGGGGAUUUCAUUGAUUACUUUGUUUAUUUUUGUAUUGAUAAUGAUUUGCUCUAGAUUAUUGUUAUUAAGUUGGUUUAUGAUAAUAUUAUUUUAAUCUUGACUAAGUGAUUGGGUAAUGGUUCGGUUUAGAUGGUUCUACCACUGGAAAAUUAUUGUGGGUAUCACUCAUAGACUUUUGGGUUGUGACAAAGUUGGUAUCAGAACCCUAGGUUUGUCGAUCUUAUCGUACAAGAACAUGUCUAGUAGAGUCUUACGAAACGGUAUGGAGACGUCUGUACUUUUCUUCGAGAAGCUAUAAGACAUUAGAAAAAUUUAAAUUCUUCUUUCUUACAUGCUAUUACUUGAUUGCAAUUGGUAUCUGACGAUUCCAAUUCAUAUUUGAUGAUUCCAAUUGGUAUCUGACUUCUUUCACUCUUAUUCUCAUAGAUGGUAAGAAAAAGAACAAAUGGAAUAUGAGUUGAGGUGCCUGAACCGACUGCUGAGGCUUAAGUUCUGGGUAGAGGAUAAGCAAGGAGAGGAUGAGGAAGAUUAUGGAGAGUUACGCCCACCAGAGGCAGAGCUCAGGCUGCAAGACCAGCUAGAGAGAGGCCAGUAUCUUCUCCCCCACAUAAGAAUUUUCUUGAGUUUGCAUAGGAUGAAGCUAUGUUAGUACAGAAUGAACGAGUGAUAGUUCAUGAUGGGUUGCAUCAGUUCAGGAAGGUGUUACUCUGAUUCAGAUGUCUUUCAUUGUGAUUCAACAGGUUCUAAGUUUUUUGAGUAAUUUGACAGGAACAGGGGCUAUGCCCGCAGCACUAGCAGUCCAGCAUCUGAGGAUUCAGCAUACUACUAUUGUAACUUCUCGGAUAGAAGAAGUGUAAGGAUCAGAUAUUUUUCCAAGACAGCUAGUGGGUCCAGUAAUGAUCAGAGAUGAACAUGAGUUGUUCUGUAAGUUUAUCAAGAUGAAGCCUUCUAUUUUUCAUGGAACCGAGUCUGAGGAUGCAUACGAGUUUAUUAUUGACUGUCAUAAAAGGUUUCAUAAGGUGGGUUUAGUUGAAAGGUAUGGUGUAGAGUUGGUUACUUUUCAGUUUCAGGGGGAUGCUAAGAUGUGGUGGAGAGCUUAUGUAGAGUGUAGGGAUGCAAGUUUGCCUCCCUUGACUUGUACUCAGUUUUACUCUAUUUUUCUUGAAAAGUACGUGCCUCGUACUUUGAGAGAUAGAAAAAAGAAUGAGUUUACUAAUCUUAAGCAGGGGAACAUGUUAGUUGUGUCCUAUGAGGCCAAAUUUCAUUCAUUGUAUUGAUGUAUAUUUUAUUUACUGAAAAUUGAGGAGGAGAGGAUCCAUCUUUUUAUGAAGGGUUUGAAUAUAGGUCUCUAUCUUUCUGCUCUCCAGAUGACAUCUUUAGGUAGGUUUUUCCAGGAUAUGAUUGAUUUUGUCAAGAAAGUGGAGGGCGUAAGGCAAGAGGGUUAUGCCAACGUAGCAAAAAAAAGGCCCGCAGAGGAGGCAGUUUUAAUGGUUCUUAUUCUAGAGGCCAGAGUUCACAGGGAUACCCUCCUGUCCUAUUCAGUCAGUGAUACAGGUGUCUGUUAGUGGUCCUUUAGGAGCUAGCCAAUUAUUUUCAUACUUUGGUGGUUACCUUACUUCAUCUUCGUCAGCUCAGUUGCCUACCUUGGAUCAUUUAUGUUAUGAGUGUGGUGGAGUUGGUCACAUCAGAAGGCUUUGUCCUAAUGUGAGGCAGUUGGGUCAGUCUAGCUAGCAGCAAACUCCUAGAGAUCUAGUUCUAGCAGGUAGGAGAAGUAGUGGUAAUGGUAGAGGUCAUCCACAGGGUGGUCGUGGUAGUCAUCAGACAGGUAGGGGUGGUAAUCAACCCUAUCAAGGAACUUCUCAGCUUGGAAGGGGUGACGUUAAGAUUGGUGGUAGGGCCCAUAUCUAUGCCUUUCCAGGAAGGCCCGAGGUAGAGGCAUUAGACACUAUUAUUAAAGGUACUAUUCUUGUUUGUGAUCGGAUGACCACUGUAUUAUUUGAUCUUGGCUCUACUUUUUCGUACGUAUCUACUAAUUUUGUUGUAGGAUUGGACAUAGUGUGUGAUUUGCUUGACUUUUUGAUUCACGUGUCUACUCCUAUUUAUGAUUUUGUUUUUGUUGAUAGGGUUUAUCAUUCUUGUUUUAUUAUGUUUAUGGGGUAUCAAACUUGGAAAGAUUUAGUGAUUCUAGACAUGGUAGAUUUUGACAUAAUUUUAGGUAUGAGUUGGUUGUCUUCGUAUCAUUCUAUAUUAUAUUAUCAUGCUAAGAUAGUGACUGUGGUUAUGGCUAUAUCGAGAAUGGAUUGACUUGAGUAGGAGGGUGAUUAUAGUCCUACUCCAAUGAAACUUAUUUCCUUUUUACAUGCAAAGAGGUUAAUUGGGAGAGGUUUUUUGGCCUUACAUGUGUGUGCUCCAAGAGGUUUUUCCUUCAAAUUUUCUUAGUAUGCCACCAGACCGUGACAUUUAUUUCUGUAUUGAUCUAGAGCCAGGUACUCUUGUUAUUUCUAUUCCUCCCUAUAGGAUGGCUCCAAAUGAGUUGAGGGUGAUAAAAACUCAGUUACAGGAUUUGUUGUGUAAGGGUUUUAUUCAUCCGAGUGCCUCUCCAUGGGGUGCUCCUAUCUUGUUUGGGAAGAAGAAGGAUGGUAGUCUUCAUAUGUGUAUAGACUACAGGCAGUUGAACAAAGUUAUAAUCUAUAAUAAGUAUCCUUUAUCCCGUAUCGUUGAUUUGUUUGAUCAGUUGUAGGGUGCAUCCAUAUUUUCUAAGAUUUAUUUCUAUGGGUAUCAUCAACUUAAGAUUCGGCCAGACGAUAUUCCUAAGACUAUUUUUUGAAUGAGGUAUGGGAACUAUGAGUUUCUUAUGAUGUCUUUUGGGCUGACUAAUGCCCCAGCUACUUUUAUGAGUUUGAUGAAUGAGGUAUUUAAACUCUAAUUAGAUUAUUUUGUGAUUGUCUUUAUUGAUGAUAUUUUAGUUUAUUCUAAGAGUAAAGUUGAGCAUGAGAAUCACUCAAGAAUUGUUUUAGGUUUGUUAAAAGAGAAAAAACUUUAUGCAAAGUUUUCUAAGUGUGAGUUCUGGUUGGAUUAUGUAUACUUUUUGGGGUAUGUGGUUUCGAAAGAAGGGGUGAUGGUAUACCCGCGGAAGAUUGAAAUGGUUAAGAAUUAAGCUAGGCCUACUUUAGUGAUGGAGGUUUGUAGAUUUAUUGGCUAAGCAAGUUAUUACCGCAGGCUCGUGAAGGGGUUUGCUUCUAUUACUACUUAUAUGACACGGUUGACUCAAAAGGAUAUACCUUUUAUUUAGUCUGAUAAGUGUGAGGAGAGCUUUCAGAAUCUCAAGACCUUAUUGACUACCUAUCCUAUUCUUGCCUUACCGAUAGAGGUUAAGGAUUUUAUUAUUUAUUGUGAUACCUCAUAUUCUGGUUUAGAUGUUGCGUUGAUGCAGGAAAGGAAUGGUAUUGCUUAUGCUUCAAGGCAAUUGCAGACCAAUGAAAAGAAUUAUCCCACUCAUGAUUGGAGUUAGCUGAUGUGGUUUUUGCUCUUAAGACAUAGAGGCAUUACUUGUAUGGGGUUCAUUAUAAAGUGUUCACUGAUCACCACAGUUUACAGUAUGUGUUCAUGCAGAGGGAUUUGAAUUUAAGAUAGCGUUGAUGGAUGGAGUUGCUUAAAGAUUAUGAUAUCACCAUUCUCUAACAUCACUGAUGCAUUGAGUAGGAAGUCAACAAGUAUGGGUAGUUUGGAUUAUUUGAAUGUUAGCAGGCGUUCAUUGGCUAGAGAGAUUCAGACUCUAGCUAAAAAGUUUAUUCAACUUGAGGUGACUGAGAGAUGAGGAAUUCUAGCCAGCACUGAAGCAAGGUCCAUAUUUCUUGAUCAAAUUAAGGCUAAACAAUUUGAGGAUGCUAAGUUGAGCAAGUUUUAUGAUAAGGUUUUGCAGGGUGGGGCCAAAGAGGCCAUUCUUGAUGGUGAUGGUGUAUUACGGAUUAAGGGGCGAGUUUGUGUACCCCAUGUUGAUGAUUUGAUUCUUACUAUUAUAGUUGAGGCUCAUUAUUCGAACUAUUCUAUACAUCCUAGAAAGACUAAGAUGAAUCAUGAUUUGAGGAAGCAUUAUUGGUGGGGCCGAAUAAAGCAUAAUAUAGAUAAUUUUACUACCAAAUUUUGGAGUUGCCAGCAGAUAAAGUACGAGCAUCAUAAGCCUUGUGGUACUCUUCAGCGGAUGCCCAUCCUUGAAUAGAAAUGGGAGGGAUACCUAUGGAUUUCGUUGUUGGUCUUCCCAAUACUUUGGGGAAUUAUGACUCUAUAUGGGUUAUUGUGGAUAGGUUGACAAUGUCUGCACAUUUCAUCUUGAUUCGGGUGACUUAUAAUGCAGAAAAGUUGACCAAGAUUUAUCUUUGGUUGCAUGGGGUCUCAAUUUCUAUUAUCUCAAAUAAGGGUACUCAAUUUAUCUCUAAAUUUUGGAAGAAGUUGUAUGAGGAGUUGGUAAGAGGUUGGACCUUAGUACAACUUUUCACCCUCAGACCAAUAGGCAGUCUUAAUGGAUGAUUCAAGUGUUGAAGGAUAUGCUCCAUGCGUGUGUGAUGGAUUUAAGAGGUCAUUGGGAUCAGUUUCUACCUUUGGCCGAAUUUGCAUAUAAUAACAAUUAUAAUUCGAGUAUUAAUAUGGCACCAUUUGAGGCAUUGCAUGGGAGGGGGUGUAGAUCUCUCGUUGGGUGGUUUGAUACUUUUGAGGUAAGACUGUGAGGUACUGAUCUGUUGAAAAACUCAUUAGAAAAGUCAGGUUCAUUCAGGAGAAACUUAUAGUGGCUCAAAGCAGACAAAAGAAGUAUGUGGAUUGAAGGUUAGAGAUAAGCACUUUAUGGAGGGUGAGCAAGUGUUGCUCAAGGUAUCUCCUAUGAAGGGUGUCAUGUAUUUUGGGAAGCUAGGUAAGAUCAGUCCUAGAUAUAUUUGACCUUUUAAGAUUCUUCAAGGUGUGGGGUCGGUGGCCUAUAUUGGCAUUGCCUCUGAGUUUGUCGGGAGUUCACCCUGUGUUUCAUGUAUCUAUGUUAAAGAAGUUUCAUGGUGAUGGUAAUGACAUAAUUCAUUGGGAUUCAGUCUUGUUAGAUGAAAACCUCUCUUAUGAAGAGGAACCUAUUUCUAUUCUUGAUAGAGGUGUUCGUAAGUUAAGGACUAAAGAGAUGGCAUCUGUAAAGGUCCAGUGGAAGAAUUGUCCUAUUGAGGAGGCCACUUGGGAGACCAAAGCAGACAUGAGUCCAAGUAUCCACAUCUUUUUGUGGAUUAAGGUAAUUCCUUGUUUUUCCUUCUUGUCUUGUGUUUUCCCGUUCUGGGAUGAACGGUUGUUUAAUUGGUAUCUGAUGUAACGGCUCUCCCGAUCGUUUGUGAAAUUUUCUCAUCUUCCCUAUUUUUUCUCUUCCUGUAGUUUAUGCAUGUGAAUUAUGACUCACGGGAUAAGUAGUACCAAUUCUUGAGAUGUUCGAAAGUAAUUAAGUCAUUAGUUGGAUUAUUGAGUUUUAAUUAAGUUAAGCUUGAUAAUGGUCAAAUUCGAUCAAGAUGGCCCCGAAUUAGUGUUUUAGUGAUUCUAAUAGGUUUGGAACAUACUUUUUAGUCAAUUUACAUAUUUAAUUUAUUUCUACGGGGUUGUGAACAAAUUUUGAGAAAUUAUUAAAAGUUUUGGGUAUUAAAUAAUUAAUUUAAUAAGAAGUAGUGGGUUAAAACUACAAUUAUUUUCUUCUCAUAUAACCCACAUUAUUGAAGUCAGUAAGUUUAACUUUGAACUAUAGCAGAAGUUGAAACAAGGAGGGUUUACGCAUGGUUGAGUUGGGAAGAAGAUGUUCUCGAUAACUUGAGGUUAGUUUAAUUUAAGUUAACUAAUACGCAAUAACAACAACAUGGUAAUUUGUGUAUGUGGACGCCAUAGGCUUCUGUUUCUUGGAAAGGAAUUAAAAAGAUUCUUUUACUAUAAUGAUUAUAAGUAAUCAUUACUUAUAAAAUUAUAUAUUGGAAAAAAAAGAAUAGCAAAUCCUUGGCCAAAUCACUGGUCAAUCGCGAUGAGACAAUGCUGAUAAUGAAUAGUAGUAUAGUUACUGGUUUUCGUUGCUACUUGUUUUAGAUCUGAGGAUUUUCCCAAAAACUUAUCAACCACACAUGAUCUAUAUUUUUUUAAAUUAAUUUGGUUGUAAGUUUGAGAUUUUUAGAGCAAAAAUUUAUAAAAUCAAUGUCAUUAGAUUCAUAUUUCUAUGGGGAUUAUAUAUUGGAACAAAUUUUGAAUGUUCCGAAACUUUGAGGAUGGGCAAGGUACUUGCAGACUAACUAUAUUCAGAUUCAUUGGUUUAGGUAGGUUACAGUUUGAUUGGAUUUUUGACUCAAUUUAAUUGUAUGUAUGCUCCUAAAUUGGAUACUUGUUGAUUGAUAUUCAGACAUGAUUGAAAUUGAUGAUGUUUGGAUUGUUGAGGAAUGUAUAAAUAAUUAUUACUUGAUGGGAUUGUCUUAUGACUUUAAGUGUACUUGUAAACUUGGUACAUCGUAUUGUAUACUGUGAGGUAAUGUAAAUUUGAUAUUGAGAUUACUUAUUUAUGGUGGAUUGGGUACCACGCCGAUAUGAAUAAGUAUAUUGAUAUUACUUGUUUAUGAUAGAUCGGGUACCAAGCCGGUUAUUUAUGGAGGAUUGGGUACCACGCCGGUACAGAUAUGUAUAUUGAUAUUACUUGUUUGUGGUGGAUCGGGUAUGUAAGGCCACGUAAGAUGCUAGGUUCGUUUUAGCUCAUUCUUGCCUGUAGAAAGGGGUCCUGGACUUAGAAUAUUUUACUAAGUGUUAGGACUUAGUCAUUUCUAGAGCCCUCAAACUUUGAUGAAUUUUAAUUCGACCUUCCCGGUCUUAAAACACAAAUUUCCAAGUUGAUUAAUUUUCAGAGCCACUUGUAGGUCAUCUCAGGCGAGUUUCAGAGUUUUUGGACUAGCGUAAGGUUGAGUUUGGAUGUCCUAAACAGUAAGGGGUCGCGAUAGGGCAGUACCAUGAGGUCCAGUUGACCCCAGGCUCAGUGUCGCGCCGCGAGGGCUGCUUGACUCGAGCAGGGGUCGCGCUGCGAGGGUCGCUUGACCCAAGAAGGGGUCGCGGUGCGAUGGGGACCCCAUCUAGUUUUUUUUAUCAGGGUUUGUGGGGGAAAAUAGGUCAUUUUUCCUUACAUUAUUCAGCCUUAACACGAGAUUAAGCUUCCAAAAGGGCAAAUUACAUUCAUUAUUCACAAAUCUCAAGAAAUAAACCCUAGUUCAUCAAGCUCAAGAUCAAGUCCCAAGAAUUCACCAUAAUUCUCACGAAAUUGAUAAUUAAGGUAUGUUAGAUGUUCAUCCUUGGGUCUCCUUUCACUCUUGGAGUCAAGUAACCUUUUCGAAAACUUAAAUUAUGAUUUCCAUGUUAUAACUUGAAUUAUGUCCAUGUUUGAGUGUUGUAUGGAUUUCAAGAUGAGAUCUUUUAUGGGUUCCAUGAAAUUAUGUUAGCAUGUGUGUUGAAUUAUGAAUCUUUCAUGUCAAAACCCUUGAAUUUGCCAGUUUAAGUUGUAUUUAUGAUACUUAUGUGUUGUUCAAUAUCAUGUGCAUUAAUUAUGCUCCCCAAGUGUUUGAUAGAAUGUCCAUGUGAAUUGAAUAGUAUACUCAUGACAUGUUAUCAUGUGUUCUCAUUCAUGUACAAGUUCAUGAACUCCAACUGUUUUACAAAUGACUCAAUGAAUGAGUUAUGAACAAUUGACUAUUGUUACGUUUUUAUCCAUUCAUGCUAUCGAUUUCUGGGGGUAUUUAUUACCCGAACUCUAGUUGUUUACUUAGUUGUAGUAGUUAUUGAAUCGUUCUAGUGAAGGACAAGAAUAACAGUACUCAUUCAAUGAUAGAACUCAAUGAACGCAAUCCAGUUCAGUCAGUCAACACGAUCAGUGUCAGUUCAGUCAAGCCUAGUAAAGUCUAAUGAUCAGUUAAGUGUCGAUUCAGUUGGGAGUAGCAUUCAGCACCGAGCGAACCUAGGGAUGGGAACAUUUCUGCCAGCAGAGGGUUUUCCCUGUGUUACAGAACUACGUAGCCAGCGUAGGGUAAGUCGUCCUUUUGCCAGACUAGGGUUGACGCGAUCAUAUAUACAUUUCAUAUGUCUUUCUACUAGUUUAAGGUUGACCCAGCAUUGUUAGUAUCCCGUGGCAAGGUGCUAACACCCUUCCAACUAGGGUCACGGGUUGGACCCCAACUCAGUCUAUAUCAGGGUAUAUCGGUUAGAUGAACACUUCCACUGUUACAGUUUUAGUCUCAGUAUUCAGUAAAGAACUCAGACAGUUCUACAUAACUAUGACUAUCAGUUAUCAGUUACUUAGCCACCAGAAAUCAGUUUAAACUUUUAGUUAUCAGUAUUCAGUUAUUAGAACUUAGUACCUCAGUCUUAUUCUAAUUCAAACAGACGUUAUAUGCGCAGUAUUGUAUAUUCAGCAUUUUCAGUAGCUACAGUUUUGCAUGUACUCUUAUUCAGUUACUUCAUAAUGUUCAUUAAGUCAGUUAUCAUCUUAUGCAUAUGAAACCAUGUAUAUCAGCCUACCUCACUUACCAUACCAGUAUAUUCAAAGUACCAGUGGCAGAUUUGGUAGUGAGUCCUCAUCCAUCUAUGAUAUUAUUUUAUUUUAGUAGUUCAGUAGUUGUUUCAGUCGGGGUUAGUUGGGAGUUUGUCCCAUCAACUCCAUAUUCAGACAGUUAGAGGCUUUCAGACUAGCAUAAUUAGUUAUUCAAUUUCUAGAUAUUAAUACCAGUACACUCUGUUAUUAUUUCAAUAUUUUGAGAACCUUAUGGCAUUUUCAGUUAUACUUCUGCAAAUGUUUUUCAGUAUUAUUAUUCAGUGCUUACAGUAGGUACCAGUCAUGGAUUAGCUUGUGAUCCUCUAGGGUCGUAAGCACCAUGUGACAUCCAGGGUGUAGACUCGAGGCAUUAAAGGGUACCACACCGAUACAGAUAUGUAUAUCGAUCACUUAUUUAUGGAGGAUCGGGUAACAUGCCAAUACAUAUAUGUAUAUUGAUAUUACUUGUUAUUGAGAAUCAGGUACCACACCAGUACGGUACAUGAACAUAGAUUGUUCCCUGCAGGUCAUGACUAUUUGGGGAAAAAUAAGUCUCAUAGCAUGUGUGUACAUAUUUGUGUUGAUUCUAUGGAUGCUUACAGUAUGGUUGAUACUCUUGAUGAUUAUGUGACUUAUUUGUGAGCACUUUUUGACCUGUUAUUGCUGUAUUGUUGAUUCAUUGAGUAUUUGUUAUGUGAUGAUUCAUGUCUAUUUGUUAUUUGAUUUAUGUUAUGUACAUGUUAUUAAAUUGGGUUAGCUUAUGAUACCUACUAGUACAUAGUGGUUUGUACUGAUAGUAUUCUGUACUCUUCUUUUGUUGAGUGCAGAAAGUGUUCUAGAGGCUCAAACACGACCUCACCUCUAGAGUUUGAUUGCAAAUAUUAAGUCAAGGGUGAGCACUCCGUCUCCAGGCUACCAUGGUUCAUCCUAUUUGAUCUUGUCUAUUUUUUGGGCAAUGAAACCUUCUUUAUUUACUUUAUUUUUGGAAAUAUCUUUUAGACAUGAUGUUAAGUGUUCUUGUACGAUGACUUUGGGUCUUGGGAAUUUUAGUGAGUACUUUGUUGAUUUUCACAUUGAUAAUGAUUUGGUCUAGAUUAUUGUUAUUAAGUUGAUUUUAUGAUAAUAUCGUUUUAAUCUUGACUAAGUGAUUGGGUAAUGGUUCGAUUUAGAUGGUUCUCCCAUAGAAAAAUUAGUAUUGGUGCCACUUAUGGCCUUUUGGGUCGUGACACAAUCGAUAAAUAUUUUUAUUAUACAAAUAUUUAUAAAUUCUACAUGUUUUACAUUUGAAGGUGGAUCAGAAAUUCAAUGAACUUCAAACACUUCUCACUGAACAAUACAUGGAUAUUAUGAAAUCAUUGAAGGUGAAGCAUGUUCAUGAGGAGAAGGUAACUUAUUUUGUUCAUCUUAUUAAAUUUGUAUAAAUUACAUUUUUAUUAUGAUCUCAUUAUUAACUUUCAGGUUGAUAUUAAAAUGGAGAGUCCACAUGGAGACCACCAUUCAGAUGGACGAGGUGAAUUUGAACGCCCUACUAAAUUAGAAUUUCAAAAGGUCUCUCCAGUACAAUCAGUUUAGAGUAAACAGAUUAAAGUCGUUCAACCACCGAUUGUUAUCAGUCAUGCACCUGAGUCGAAAAAGGUACUUGGUUAGAUAUUUAUGACAGUGACAUCAUUAAUAAUCCUAUCAAAUUUCACAUACAUUUGAUAUUUUUUUAGGAUGUUUCUGUUUCAACAUUAUAACAGUAACAUGCAGUCGUGCACUAUUUUUUAUUGGACUGAGUAGGCUUAUAUAUUUUGAGUCAUAAUAUUGAAACGUUGCACAUCACUCUCAUAUGUUAUAAACUAUAUAAUGAGUUAGGACCGAUAGUUAGUUCCUCUAAACUAUUGCUUAUUUAUUAGAAAAACUAACAUUACUGUAUAUAUGAUAAUAACAUCGCUUUGACCAAAGUUUAGUUUGAAUAGGUUGAAUAUAGCCUAAUUGGAGAUCAUACUGUUAAAUCUGAGAGUCCAAGCGACAUCAAAUUUCAUUCAAUUGAUAAGAAAUGGAUCAACAUCAAGCUAGAACCGACGCAUACCAACAACUGUCAUAAAACUCAUGAGGUAAUUUAAGUUUAUAUAUCUUAACAUAUUUUUUUUAAUUUCUAUAAAUAUUGUAUGUAUGUCAUACAUUAUUAUGGAUGUAUAUUUUAGUACAUUUAAAUGUAUCUCUUAUCGUUAAUAUGUACUUCACUCAAAAUAAAUUGCUUUAUUAUAGAUUUUUUUCAUGCUUACAAAUAUAUAUAUAUAUGAUAUAUAUACACACAUACAUAUAUAUCAUAUAUAUAUACAUAUUUAUGAAUUUCAUAUAGGUGUAUCUUUUAAUAUUGUUUGAUAUCUCUUACAAAAAUGUACUUUACACUUAUGUAUUUAUUAAUUUAAUAUUUAGCAUCUCACUCUAUCUAAAUUUUAGCUUUUAGCUUAUAACAUAUUUUAUUAAUUUACUAUAAAUAUGGUAUGAAUCUCAUUAACUCUGAUAGAUGUGACUGUUAUUACAGUUUUAUAUAUCUCUUAUUGAUACUUUGUAUCUUACAAACCAUAUAGUUUACUAUAAUGUAUCAAUUAUAUUGUUAUAAAUAUGUCUGAUGCUCAUAUGUAGCUUUUAAUAUUGAUACAUAUUUCUUACAUAAAUGCACUGUUCUCAUUAGUAUUUUAGUUGAUAAUUUAUAUGUAGCAUCUUACUCUAUCUAAAUUAAGUACUAUAAUUUUAAAUUUUAAUAUCUAUUAUACUAGCUUAUCAGCGGAUAAUAAUUUUGUAUCAAAAUUAUUUUCGAAUGUCUAUCAAAAUGUCCAGGAGUCCCAUACUGAAACACUGCUUAGUACUGUUGUUGAAGGAAGUGAAGUGCCCGUAUUAAGUGAUGUCGAUCCAAUUUCUGCUCUAUUAUUGAUAGUUUACAAACCUUUACCUUUCAUUGAGAGUCAAUAUAUGAUUAGCAAUAUAGCAAUACUAGAAGCAUUUUCAAGUCAACAGAAGUCAACAUCAGAUGAGAAAGUGACACCGACACAUUGGAUGAGACAACCAUCGAAGAUAUAUCACUCUCCUUAUUUGACAGAAUUUAGAUCUAGUUCUAAAGGAAGGGAGAAAGUUAUUUUACAUAUGCGAAAAACCUGUCCAUUCAAAGGUUAUAACAUCACAGGUACAUGUUCAACUGGUAUAACGUCAUCAUUUAGGGAAUGGAUACAAGAGGGUCUUUACAAGUGACAUGUACUUAAGUAAGUAAAUUAUUUCUUUAGCUUAAACAGAUUUUAUAACGUACAAUUAUUACAUUCUUAAUUUCAUUUUACAAGAAAGAUAGGGAUAACCACUACAAAGUUAAAUGCUCAAGAAUUAGAUUUCGACAACCUAAUUUUGUAGUUACUUUUUCAAAGUCAAAGAAUUGAUUUUACCUUAUGCACCAAGCCAACAAGUGUUGGAAUGACAAGGUAUGAUUACACGUUUUAUCUUUAAAAAACAUUAUGUAUCAUAUUUUGCAACAUCAAAUCAAACUUAAAUAUAGACAAUUUCAUAAAUUAGUUAAAAAAACAAAAGAACUCUUCCUUUCGCGAAACAGUUAAAGCUUUUAGUCUAACAUGUAUCUGAAAACACAUUCAGAUUACUUAAUUAUUAUUCGACUGUUUCAGCAUCUGGAUGUGAUAUUCUACUAUUUGUGGGAAGAAGGCAAAGAAACUAACAAAUUCAAGCUACAGAUACACAAUAGUGGACUAUUUCUUUAAGAUACACAUGGACAAGGCAUACAAAAAUUAUUAUGAAUUUAUCGGUGAGAAGGUUUUCCCUACUCAACAGGCAAUUGAAUGUUGCAGUAUUGUUUCUCAAGUUGAGGAGUCAAUUAUCAACACAAUCAGAGGAUAUAGUUUACCGGGUACUAUUCCUCGACAUCUUUUAGAUGAGGUCUAUGUUCUGAUAAAUUGCGAUGGGGAGUUUCAUUGAAUUCUGACAGUCAUUGCACUGAAGGAACGACAGAUAUGCAUCUAUAAUUAGUGUUAUCUUCAAGAAACAAAAAUUAGUCCAUUGAAGUUCAAAAGUUGGCUAUAAUGCUGCCAACAUACCUUUAGUAUAGUAAUUUGUUAGAAGAAAAGACUCCUAGUGACUAGUCAACGCUUUAUUCUUAUCAUGAAAAGACUGAAGGUGACCCAUUUGAAGUCGAAUAUGUAUUUGGGAUUGCUCAAAAACACAGACACAAUUUACAAUUAUAUUUUUAUUUUUAAUAAGUAUUUUCUUGAUAACAUAGUAACAACUAACUAUAUUAUUUUUAAAUAAAUCACUAUGAAUGUAUCAUGGAUCCUUUGUAACUGUGUUCGUCAAGUAUCUAAGUCAAGGGUUAGAAGUGCCGUCUUUUGAGAAUGUUGUUGAAUACCACCAUUUGCGACAUGUUUUUCUGUUGUAAAAUUAUCGAGUAGAUAAGACGGAGAACGAAUACUUCAUCGAGUAGAUAAGACGGAGAACGAAUACUUCAGUGACAAUUGUUUUGCCUUUUUUCAAGUUUGAAAGGUUUAAAAAUAUUUGACUUCGACUAUUUAAACCAUUUAAAAACUUUAAGAAAAUUUUAAAAUAAUUUAAGAAAUUAUAGAGUCGCCACUUGAUUUUGGAGAAAAUAUCAAGAAAAAACUAAAAAUAUUACUUAAAAGAUUCAAAACAGAAAAAAUCUUUUAGGUUUAGAAAUUUUAAGUAAGUGUUUCCUAUUAAUACUCUUGGAAGGUUGUUAAGUCACCAAGAAUAUCUGCUAACUUGUUGUUAUCCAGACUAUUUGAACUCAACUUUUGGCUAACUUUAAAAGGGAAAGUUGAUUUUUGAAAAAAAAAUUAAGAAAAAAUUUUGUUUUCAAGAUUUGUGCAAAAUAAGUUUUGACGACUUAGUGAGAAUUUUUAAGUCUAAGAAAACUAAAAAAUUAGCAUAUAAAGGGGAAAGGGGAGACUAAAAGAAUUAGGCCAUUGGGCCCAACUCCACAAACCCUGUCCUAAGCUAAUUUGUGGUUUUGGCCCAUCUUCACCUGUCCUAGUCCAAAUACUUGGACUUUUGGCCCAUAACCUGUCCUAAUCUAAUCAGUAAGGCUUUUGUCCCACAGCCUAUCCUAAAUUAUCUUUAUGGACCUUUGGGGGUCCAACAUCCGCUUCACCUAUAUUAGAUUAAAAUUUUGGCUUUGAGGCCCCAAAUAAAUGAAUAACUAAUUGAUUAAAUGAAUAAAUAAAAAUAAUACAAUAAAAGUAUUAAGACUUUUCAAGUCUCUUAGCGACCUUACAAAUGGGUUUUGACCCAUUUUCCUUCUUCGUCUAUCUUCUUGCACUCGCACGCCAUAUAAUCGACUUUUGGACUUAAUCUUCGAAGAGGUGGGCCUCAUUGUCCAUUACGACAUGCAAGGGGAAAAGGAGUCUAUUUGGAAUCCAAAGCAGAUUCAUGCAAAUAAAAAGAUACGAGAAUUAAUACGUGUUCAAAAAUUUUGCACUUAAUAGAAAAAUGAUGAAAUGAAAAAAUAGCAUCCUCAAGCAUAAAGAAAUAGUAAACUGCGAUAUUAAAACAAAUCAAAUCAUCCAACGAAAAUAAAAUUAACCCAUAUAACAAAUAAUAAGGUGGAGGCUAACUUUUAAGAAAGGGAAUCGUUUAAUUCCAACUAAGGCGACAUUAACGAUGAUUCAUACAUCCAAAUUAUGGCCAACUUUAGGGAAAACAUGUAACGACCUAUGGUUUAUCUUUCUAAGACAUCGUUGAUUCUCUUUUGAUAGUAUUAAUCAAAUAGACACAUGAAUUAAGUCUUUACACACACAAAGAGCACAUAUAACAGUCCAAAGGGAUUAAGAAAAUUAGAAUAAAAGUUUGGCAUCUCUAAAAGUGAAAUAUCAUUCAACAAUCAUACUAUACAUGACUCAAAAAUAUCUAAAUAUUUCUAUUUAGCCACAAAAAUCCGAACUUUCUCAUCAUUUUGACAAAACAACAUGCGAACAAAAAGAGAAAGAAACAUCUUGGAUGGGAAAUAAAGCUAGCACUUCAUCUCUCAUAUGAUGAUUUUGAAUUCCAUUAAAAUAAUUAGCAAGAAAAUGACAAGUUCUUGACUUAACCAAUUACUAUUUUAUUAAGGCAAAACAAACAAUAGUAACUUUUCUUUUCGACAUAAAGAAAAAAACAUUACAUGUUAAAAACAAACAUAUCUGCCAACAAUGAAUUUAAACAAAGCAUACUGUAACGCCCCUAAAAUACACCCUAGACGUCACAUGGUGCUCAAGACUACAAGUAGUCCCAAGCUAACCGUUUAAGCCUUCUAACAAGUUUGGAACUCAAUAAUAAAGAUAAACUUAACAUAAGAAAUCUUGAAAUAACUGAAUUAAUGUCUUAACUGAAAGUCUUAAACUUUAAAAUAUUGAAACAAACGCUUUUAAGUCUAUAACCAAAACAAUCAGACAAGCCUCUAUAACCAAAUGGAUCCUCGAACUAUGAGGACUCACCAAGCAUCAGGAUAUAGGUAGAGAUACUCGCAAUUAAUUACGCUGCUGAAACUGAGCACCAGAAGCUACAUUAUAAGACAAUGUAGCACCUAGACAUAUAUGUGUAUUAGUACUUUUGGAAUGUACUGGUCAUGUGGGAGUGAAUGCAUAAGUAAAACAACUCAAUGUUCACAUAAACUUUUAGAAUACAUGCUAAGUGUAAAUGACUCACCUUGGCUUAAAUCAAACAAGUACUGUGAAAUAGUAAACAUGAGUAUUAAAGCAUAAAAACAAUCUUUAUGAGUCAUAACACUUAGUUUCUACAAAAAAAACUUUACUUUUAUUCUUUCUUAGGGAGUGUCUUCUAACUAACACUCACCAUGUGAGCUGUCAUGGAGUCCAACGUCUUACCCACGGUAGGGAGAGCUCACGUUGGGGAAAGUUGUCCUACCCUUACCAUCGGAAUAGGACCUUAACUUAAGUGAUCACUAUACUUAACCCAUAUUAGGACUUUAAACCUAGGUGGCUCGUAGUUCUGGGGCAUACGACCUUGGACACAUACCUAAUUUGGUGCUAAAUACUAAUCCCUUAAUACUUAUAUGCUCAUACUUAAGGAAAUUUACCUUAAAAUAGCAUAAGGGUUUGUAAUGAAAACCAGUUAUGCUUCUUUUUUCUUUAAACUAUGAUCAAAAUCAACAAAUAUGGAUUCCUUAUCUUAUCUUGGGAUCAAAAGAUCAAUUCUUGCUUUAAAUCUUGAUAUAAGCUUAUCAAAGAAUGCUUAAAAGCAUAAUCUUCUUGAAAUCUCAACACUUAAACUUAGGGCUUAGAAUUCAUGCUUUAAACUCAUGGUAAUUCAUACCCAAAACUUCAUGCUCAAUAUAAUUCUUGAAAUACUUCAACAAUAACAAGUCAAGAUAGUGCAAUCUCAUUCAUAACAUAAAUCUUGCAAGUUGAAAACAUAAACAUAAGCACUUCUUGAUAUACCUAAAGCUUUAAAUCUCAUGAUAAUCACAUGCUUCAAGAAUAUAUAAACUUAGGUAUAAAUCCUACUUCAAAACAAGUAAAUAGAAUCUUAAAAUCAUGCAAUUUGGGCACAAAGGGUGAAAGGAUACCCUUGUUCAUAACCCCACAUACCUUAAUAGGCUUGAUUUGAUGCAGAAGCUUGACUUUGAACUCUUGGAGAUGUUAUUGAAGGUUUUUUCUUGAAGUUCUUGGAUUAGGAACCUUAAAUUCUUGAUUGUCUUGAAGAGGAUGUAAUGGAAUUUUGGAAUUCUUGAAAUUAGUUUAGGGUUUGUUGGAGAGAAGAUUGAUGGAGAGUGGGUGUAUAAUGCUUAAACCGACAUUUAAUCUUAUGUUUUUAUGAAUUAGGGUGAUGGUAAAUGACCUAAUUGCCCCUCUGAGAACUAAAUUUUCAAUUGGAAUGCCAUUUUGAAGGCCACCGCGACGCGAUGACAUGCCCAUCGCUAUACACAGUGCGAGGCGGUGAAAUCACGUUGAGCUACUCAAAACAUAAUCCAAACAUGACCUAACCCUCGUUUGAAAAAUCCAAAAUCUCCCCAAGACAUGCUCCUUACACUCCAGAACAUGAAUUAACUCAAAAACUAUCAUAUCGGAGUCCGUAAAGUUGACUAAAAAUCCUCGAAGUUAAGAGGUCAAAAUGAGACUAUGUUCCCAACACUUAGUUUUAUUUUCAGGUUCUAAGACUCUUAUGCAAUCACUAAGAUCUGAACUGAACUAAGAACGUAUGGGGCAUUUCACAUAAUUACGUCUAUUAAGAAAAGAUUGAAACUUUAUCCAUAAUAAUCCAGAAUAAAGUCAAAAAGGCGAAACAAUCAAUAUUAACUAUUUUUUCCAACAUAAAGGAAACAACUUUACAUGCUAAAAAACAAACAUAAAAAAUGAAUUUAAACAAGGCUUGAGUACGUCUUUUAAGCAAAGAUCAAAACUUUAUCCAUAAUAAUCAAAGAAUUAAGCCAAAGAAAUACAUUCAAGUAUUGCUAGCUCAUUUUUAUACCAUAAACAUGAAAAUAGCCAUAAUAUCAAUACCACAACCUCCUAUGGUCUUCAAGCCCAUCUACAAUAAAUAAUCCCAGCUAAUAAAAUUACAACUACGAACUUUGAAGAAGAAGAUAAAUAAGAAAACAAUAAAACUAAAAGGGAAAAGGUGUGUUUACCUUUUUUGGGGCAGCAAAGUGGAACUUCAAGCUUUCUUCAGAGUCUUGAUCACCAUUGGAAAGCGAUUUUUUGAGAACCUCGAUUAGACUACCACUUGAAAAAUUUUACUAAAGAAAAGAAAUUUAACUAUUUGCUCAAAAGUUUUUUUCACUCUUUGAGACUUGGUCUUUCUACCAAAAUAGUGGUAGUAUUUACAAGAAAGGAUGGAGAUUCAAUUAUUUUUAUCCAUCAAUGUGGGAGAAAGAGUUUAAGGAUGUUUUUAAAUUUAAAACUGAGGAAAAAAUUUGUUGGAGGAUAAGGUAAGGUAGAAUUGUACAAUCUAGUACGAAUAUUGAAUUUCAAAAAUGGAAAAAGAAUAAGGUUGGGGUGAAAUUAUACAAUCUAGUACAAAUUUUGAAUUUCAAAUUUGAAUUUCAAAAAUUGAAAAAGAAUAAGGUUGCGGUGGAAUUGUACAAUCUAGUACAAAUUUUGAAAUUCAAAUUGGAAAAGGACAAGGUUGAGGUGGAAUUAUACUAUCUAGUACAAAUUUGAAAAUCAAAUUUAAAAUUUGGGAUUUAAAUGGGUAGAUUGGCUUAGGCUAUUUAUGAAAUAUCCAAAUUAAAUUGAAAUUAUUCAAUCUUAUUUAAUUUUGGCCAAUUGAGAAUCAAUUAGUCAAGUAUAUUACAAAUAUGGCCCUAAAUCAUAAUUUAGUCAAUUUUAUUCAAGUUAAAAUCAUAUUGAAAAUCAAUUGGCUAUUGUAUUGCAAUUUCAAUUUUAUUUAGAAUCGAAGCAACUUAGGAUCAAAUUUAUUCAUGGAGCAAAAAAUUAAGUAUCAACAACUGCCCCCUCCCUUUGGGUAGGGUAGAUGCAAGUAACCUUGGGCAAAGGGAGUUUGGCAUUCCUAACUUUGUUUCUGAAAGAGGUUCAUUUUCGAACGAGUUUCAUGGAGUUAUGCCAUACCCUGGUAUCGGGUUUUCAAUAUAUCUCAGGUUUCAUGAGAAUUUAGGCCACUCGUAGUUCCUAAAGCUCAAUUUUAAGCAUGGUCUUCAAGAAAUUCACGAGUUAUCCCAAUUUUUAAAUUUUAUUAAAAACCAAAAAGCUGAGAAAGAGGAGGAUUGAGGGGAGGUUGGAAUGCAAUCGAGUUUUCUACAUAGAGGCCAGCAUACAUAUCCCUGAGACUCAGCGAAUUAGACUGCUUGAGUUUGACUCAAUGGGUAGAAAAAAUGGUCUUUUAUUUCAAAAAAUCUUUGGUUUGGAAUGAGUGAGAAGUUGAUUAAGUUGUGAAAAAGAGGCUUGUAACCUAUUAACCAUGAAUAUGAGAUCCUUCACAUCCAUAGGCAAGAACUUGCCUGGAUAUAAUCUAUAAAACUCUAAGUAUGUUGUCACCCGGAUUUGAAUGAAAGAGAAGGCUACCCUCGGCAUGAGUUUAGAAAUAUCUCAAAGGUGAAGCUAAAACUAGAAUAUCCCAAAAUACCCAUAUGCCUUCUAAUAGGGGUGUGGUUUGAUGGUGGUGGCAAUUAUCCUUUAGCUCAUGUCCAAAGAGUUUGACAUCCCUCUCUAGACUUCGUCCUAUUUUGCUGCUAAGAAAGAGUUUCACGUUGUGCUGCAUUCUAUCUAGAGUCAUCCGCACUUGUGGUUUUUAUUUGAGAUUUUCAUCCUCUCGGAUGCUCUCGAUAAUGUCUCAAACAAAAAUUACUAGUGCUAAACAUAAUUCACGAAAGAGGUAUAUAGUUUUUUACUAUAUCUCUACAUGAGUUGUCGCCUAAGAAGAAAAGUCAUCCUCUCAUUUACCUGUUUGGAAGGAAAUAACUUGAAAUAACAUACACAAUAACCCUCUUGGUUGUUCCAUAAUUAGCUCAUUUGUUGAUUGACUAUGUCUUCAAAGUGGGGUGACCGUUUUAGACACCGUUGACACUUUUUGCAGAAUGGUCCCUGCAACCGUGUAACCUUAAGAUAAUGUGACACCCCUUUUGGUCACCUACAAUGCUUUUCGUAUGUGGAAUGAUAACCUCUCCGGUUAUUGACAAUGAGUCUUUGCAUGUGAACUCGAGUAAGUCUUGCGCGUCUUUUGUGUUGAUACGGCUUAUGGAUUUCCCUCAAAUUAAAAAUCUUUGGAUAAUCUUUCAUAUUAUUUGAUGUUGGAUACGAGGUAACUUACAGAUAUCCUUGGAAUUGCUAUCUUUUAGGAAACUCUGCACAUUAUCCGACCUUGGAUAAGAGAUGGCUUACAGAUAUUCCUCCAAUUGCUAGCUCUCAGGUAUUCUUGCACAUCAUCCAACGUUGGAUAUAAUAUGACUUAUAGAUAUCUCUCAUAUAGCUAGUCUUUGGGUAAUCCUGCACAUAAUCGAUCUUGGAUAUAACGCGGCUUAUAGAGAACCCUUGGAUGUAUCAAUUUGAUAAUCUCACAUAUUCUCUGGUAAGGAUUUUGUUGUGACUUAUGGAUGACCUUCAAACUAUCGAUCUUUAGGUAACCUUGCACACUAUCCGGUUAGGAUAUUGUUGCGGCUUACGUAUGAAAGAUGGACUAUCAACUCAUAGGUAAUCUUGCACACUAUCCUAUUUCAAAUAAUAUGACUUAUAGAUAACCCUCAAAUUGUUAAUUUUAGGAAUCUCAUAUGUCGUUCGCUUUCAGAUAGCGACUUAAAGAUGUCCCUUCGAAUUUCGUGUUUUUGAUACAUUUAAUUAAUUAUUCAAAAAAUUAUGAGAUAUCCUCAACUUUGAUCUAUAUAGUCUUUAUGUGGUUAAAGAAUAUUGGUGUUCCAAAGCAUCUUCCAAUGCCAUACCUAAUCGUCUUACAAUACGAGCAAUUAUGGAGACUUAGUUGAAUGGCAUGAUGGCCCCCUUGGCUAUGAAAUAAUAUAUAAUGGCCCUUUUGGCAUGGAUAAUGGAAUGAAAUAAAAUGGCCCUCUAGGUAAUGGCAUGAAAUAGCCCUCUCGGCAAUGGCAUGAAAAGACAUAGCCCUCUUGGUGAUGAUAUGAACUUUCCCUCUCAAAAAUGGCAUGAAAUGAAAUAUCCCUCUCGACAAUGGCAUGAAAUGAUGCUCUCGGCGCUAAUAUGAAAUGGCCCUCUCGGCGAAGAUAUAAAAUGGCUCUCUCGGUGAUGAUAUGAAAUGGCUCUCCCAGCAAUGGCAUAAAAUGGCCCUCUCGAUAAUGGCAUAAAAUGACCCUCUUAGUGAUGAUAUGAAAUGGUCCUCUUGGAAAUGGCAUGAAAUAAAAUAGCCCUCUCGGCAAUGACAUGAAAUGGCUUUCUCGGCGAUGAAAAAUUUAACAUAAGUUUGUUUGUUUGUAUUUUUGCUUUCUACACGUACCGUUUUCUUUGCUUCAAGGCAAAUUUUGUGGAUGACUUUCUUUCUCUUUCUUAUCUUAGUAAAUCCUUUUAUUGUGGCCUUAUAGGGACAUCUUUUUUUAUCGUACCUGCGCUCAAAGUAAAUAUUUGGUAGACACAAAGUUGCCUUUUACUAGCGACUAUUUUUAGAAAAAUACAAUAUUCAUAAGGAAGAUAAGGCGCCUUUGUUUGUCCUUCACGGUCUUAAGAAAUGAGAUAGAUAAUUCAGAAGGUUCUGAAUAAAUAGGUAUUAAACCCGUCUUUGGGGCUACCCAAAAAUACCGCCCUUGAGCAUUAUAUGCUUUGGUGUGGCUCCCAACUCACUCGUGGAUUUUUGAAAAAGAUUUCCAUUUCUGUGUAUUGGUCCCUGCAUCCACAGAAAAAUGAUUAGUUUUGAGUGAAACUACUCCAUGUUGACCUCCUUCAUUCCUCGGUUUGCUCCUUGCCAUCUUUUGAUGUGCUCUGUCAUGUUGGUACUUCCACCCUGACUCACUUUCCAAUACAGUCCUAGGCAAUCACUAAGUAAAAAUAUUCGUAUAGAUUUUCGAAAGUAGUCUUAAUUUUUAGAAACUAGUUUCAAAAACUUCUGUAAAAGCUUUAGAAAAUCUCCACUAGUCAUGUCAUGUGCUAGCUCAAAAAAGUCUUCUUUCUGAGGUUCAACUAUGUUCGACAUCCAACAGAGGAUUUUCAAAAUUCAAAUAUUAUUACUAGAGAGUUCUUCAAAAAGUCUUGUCAUAGCAAAAGAUUUAGUCUAUCUAAACUUUGUCACAGUUACUGAUUUCUAAAGCUUGACUUUGACCUCUGGUGUUGGGGGAUUUGAAAUAUAUUCAAAUAUAUUAAUGGAAAUUUUGAGGACCUCCUCAAAAUUCCUACCCUAGUUUAAUAUUAUUUGAGAUGAUCUUAGCUUAAAAGGAUCUGUAGUCUUCGCAGGUCUUCAUCUUUUUUUUCGGAUGAUGAUCUUCCUCUUGUGAAUUUUUUAGAUUUCUUCUAAGAAAUUAUGGCUCAAUUUCCAUUUCUUGGUGUUAUAUGACCGAGCCAUUGGGGCGCCUACGUAUCCCGUUGAAGUAGGAAUCAGGUCAAAUGUAGUUAAGGGUUACGCUUAGGAUAUAUAGAAAAAUCUAAAAGGUUGACUAAAGCCGACAUAGGCCCUACAUAUCCCCUUCUUGGGAAUUCAGGUCAUCACGUUGUUCAUACAUAAAAGAAAAGGAUAGGUUCUCCUAAAGGAUUGACCGAAGCCGACAUUGGCCGCCUACGUAUACCUUCCUUGAGAAUUCAGGUCAAACAUUGUUCGUACAUAAAAGGAAAGGGAUUCUAGGCAAUUACACAUCAUAGAAACAAAUACUAUCAUAAAGGCGAUUACAAAUAAACCAAGGAAACAAAAACAAAAAAACAACUUUCAAACAUAGUAUGUCUUUACCGCAUCAAAAUUGAUUGGUUUGGUCCACUCUUGACUAUCCAUCUUAGAUAGGAUCAGGGCUCCUCCAGAUAGCACCUUCCGAACUAUAUAUGUUACUUGCCAAUUCAGAGCAAACUUACCUUUGUACUCCUUUUGGUGAGUAAAUAUGCGUUUGAGAACCAAUUUCCUAACUUUAAAUAUUCGAGUUCUUACUUUCUUAUUGAAGGCACGGAUCAUCCUGUGUUGAUACAACUGACCAUGACACAAGGCAACCAUUCUCUUCUCGUCAAUCAGCAUGAGUUGUUCAUAAUGAGCGCGAACCCAUUCUUCUUUACUUAAUUCAGCUUUUUGUAUAAUAUUUAAGGAAGGUAUUUCAACCUCGGCAGGUAUUACAACUUUAUUCCCAUAAAUAAGCAGAUAAGGGGUUUCCUUAAUUGAGGUUCGAACUGUUGUAUGAUACCCUAGAAAAGCAUAAGGCAAUAUUUCAUGCCAUGAUCUAUCAUUUUUGAACAUCUUUCUCAAAUUCUUCCUGAUGUUCUUGCUGGCGGCAUCCAUGGCUCCAUUCAUCUGUAGAUGAUAUGCAGUCAGUUGUGAUGAUCAAUCUUGAACUGAUCACAAAUCUCAUUCAUCAAGUGACUUUUUAAAUUAGCCCCAUUAUCAGUAAUGAUCGAUUCUGGCACUCCAAAUUGGUAAAGAAAUUUAUUCUUAACAAAAUCGACAACCACCUUCUUGGUGACGACUCUAUAUGAAGUAACUUCGACCCACUUAAUGAAGUAAUCAAUAGCAACAAAAAUGAAUCUAUGCCCAUUCGACGCUGGUAGAUCUAUUGGUCCGAUAACAUCCAUACCCCAAGCUACAAAAGACGAAGGUGAACUCAUCAUAUAAAGCUUAUGUGGAGGCAUUCAAAUCAAAUCCCCAUGUAUCUGGCAUUUUGGGAACUUCUGCACAUACUUGCUACAGUCAUUUUCCAUAGUAAUCCAGAAGUAACCAGUUCUCAAAAGUUUUCUAGCAAGGGUAAAUCCAUUCACGUGGGACCCACAGAUUCCAGCAUGUACUUUCUUUAUUAAUUUCAUGGCUUCUGCGGCAUCGACACAUCUUAAGAAUCCUAAGUUUGGAGUCCUCCUAAAAAGGAUUUCCCCACUUGGAAAAUAAUUCUUUGCUAAAUGUCAGAUUGUCUUUUUCUUUUUGUUGAUGGCCUCUUCAGGAUAUAUUCCAGAUUCUAAAUACCUUUUAAUAUCAUAGUACCAUGAUUUUUCAUCAGGCUCCUUUUCGACUGCGCAUAAUAUUCAGGUUGUUCCUUCAAGUUUAUUUCUAAAGGAUCAAUGUAACUCUGUUCUGGGUGAUGAAUUAUGGAGGAUAUAGUAGCCAAAGCAUUAGCAAAGUCAUUUUGUAUCCUCGGGAUAUGUCUGAAAUCAACUUUCUUGAAUCUUCCACACAAAUACUGCACCAGCUCUACAUAAUAAGUGAUCUUAAAAUUAUUUACCACCCAUUCCCCCUAUACUUGGUGAAUCAGCAAAUCUAAGUCUCUGAUGACUAUCAAUUCACGAACACCCAUAUCAAGUGCUAACUUGAGGUCUAGAAUGCAAGCCUCAUAUUCAGUUGACCGCUCCAUCAAAGAACAAUCUCCAUCCGGGGUAGAUCUCUGCAAUGUCCUCUCUCACGAAUAAAAUCUCCUCAUCUAGGAAGUAAGUUCGAAAUGUAUUUUACUCAUCAUCAAUCGGAUUCUCAGUUAAAUGAUCUGCUAAGGUUUGCCCUUUGAUUGGCUUUUGAGUUGCAUACAUAAUAUCGAACUCACUCAGCAAUAUUUGCCACUUAGCUAACUUUCCUGUGGGCAUGGAUUUUGGAAAUAUAUACUUCAAUAGAUCCAUUCUGGAAAUAUGUACAAGGAUAGAUAAUUCCUCAACUUUGGUAUGGCCCAAGUCAAAGCACAAUACAUCCUUUCUACAAGAGUGUAGUGAGCCUCAUAGGGCGUAAACUUUUUACUAAAGUAGUAGAUUACUUUCUCUUUCUUACCAGUCUCAUCAUGUUUCCCGAGGCCACACCCGAAAGCAUUUUAUGAGACUAUCAGGUAAAUAAACAAUGGACUUUUUUCCCUUGGUGGAACCAAAACAAGCAGAGCGAUAAAUAUUUCUUGAUUCUGUCAAAAGCUUUAUUACAUUCUUCUGUCCAAUCAUUCAAUGCAUCUUUCUUCAACAUCUUGAGAAUUGCAUCAUAUAGGACUGUUGAUUGGGCAAUGAACCUGCUAAUGUAAUUCAAAUAACCCAAGAAACUCAUAACCUCUUUCUUAGUCCUUCACAGCGGUCAGUCCUAAAUUAUCUUAAUUUUGGAUGGGUCUAGCUCGAUGCCCCUUCUACUGACUAUGAACCCUAGUAAUUUUUUAGCUGGCACACCAAAAGCAUACUUUGCAGGAUUCAAUUUCAAGUUGUACAUUCUCAACCAGUUGAAUAACUUUUCUAGGUGUAUCAGAUGAUCCAAACUCUUGCGAGAUUUGAUGAUUACAUCAUCCAUGUAUACCUUAAUCUCUCCAUGUAUCAUAUCAUGAAAGAUCGUAGUCAUAGCCCUUAUGUAUGUUGCACCAGCAUUCUUAAGACCAAAUGGCAUUACCCGAUAAUGAUAAACUCCCCAGGGGUAAUAAAAGUCGUCUUUUUUGUAUAUCUCUCAUCCAUUAAUAUCUUAUGAUACCCAACAAAAUAAUCCAUGAAAAACUGCAUUUCAUGCUUCACAAUUGUUGAUGAGGAUGUGGAUGUUGGGUAACAAAAAAUUAUCUUUAGGACUUGCUCUAUACAAAUCUCUGUAGUCAACAUAAUUUUUGAUCUUGCCAUCCUUUUUUGGAACGGAACUGGAACUAUAUUAUCUAGCCAUGUCAGAUGUCUUGUGACCUCUACAACCUUUGGUUCGUCACUUCUUUCUUGAUCUUCAAACUUAGGCCCGACUUGAAUUUCUAAAUUUUUUGCUUAACUGGUUAAACUUGGGAUUAAUUGAUAACUUGUGUGAUACGAUGUUGGUGCUAAAUCCUGACACAUCAUUGUAGGACCAAGAAAAUAAGUCAAUGCACUCCCGUAGAAAGCGAAUAAGUUCCCUUAUUUGUGUUUCUGCUAAGUAAACACUAAUACCCGUCUCUUUGAUUUCAUCGCGGUCUCCCAGGUUGACUAUUUUAGUUUUUUUCCACGUUUACAUUUCUCUCUAUUUUCAAAUUCUUCUAUAUCUUUCACUAACCGCUCCUCAUCAUGGUCUUCUAUUCAUCUCCAUUCAUCUCGCUUUGUUUAUUUGGCCCUUGAAAUGAUAUGACAUCAGCAGGUUUUAAAUUAUAGUUACCCAACGAGCGACAAGUCACGAGUGGAGUAGAGGUUCAAUUCAACAAUGUUUCCUCCAAUUCAUCUUCCAUGAUUCCAGCUGUCUUAAAAAAGUCUUCCAUGGUAGCACAACAUUUUUCCCUAUUCCAUCCUCUAGACCAUCACUUAUAGGUUUUGAAAAAAUGACUGGUAGAGUUCAACCUUACUACUAAUCAUUUUUUAUUUCCUGUAAAAAAGCUAUAUUCAAGAGAGGAAUCUUUAUUCACUUUGAUCUAAUGAAGUAGGGUCAUUUUAUGCCAACAUAGAGUAGUUUCUAUUACCUACAAAGUAAAAGCAACUCAAAGGCUGAUGUGUUAGAUUUCAUUACUAAUAAGAAAAUCAAGAUGAUAAGGUAGGAAGUAAACACAUAAAGUUAUUUCUCAUCUCAUGCCAAUUGAUCCAUCGAGUAAUAAUGACUCGAGAAUUUCAAUGAACAUGAUUUUGCUCAAUGAUAUGGAUAAGUGAAUUUUAUCAGGAAGGUUCAAUUCUUCGUAUUUCUAACCUUAUUUCUUCUUUCAAGAAAGUGGAGGACAACAGAGUUUCUGAAGAUAGGGGUUGGGCCAAAAGGCUACCAACGUAUCUCAUGGAGGAGAAAUCAGGCCCUACAUAGUUUGAACCUAUAAUGGUUUCUUUUAAUUCUAUAGUCAACUUUUCUAAAAUGGUAGCGAGCAUUUUAAAGUUUUAAGAAUGACUGUGGAAUUUUCUAAGAGACUUGGGAAACUUGGAAUAUAUUUGGUCGAACUUUUGUAUAGUGGGGUACAUUUCUUCCUAGAGAUGCUCUAUGAAAAAUGGGACUUGGGCAAUUUGCCUUUGAUUCAAAUCAACAUAACACGUAUAAGCACAUAAAUAAUUAUAUCACACAAGCAUAUUGUAAUAAACGCGCAUCCUAAUUGGGUGACCCUUUUAAGCCAAGGGUUGGCCUAAUGCAUUUGAAGAAAGUAGAUACCUUUUAAAACCAAUCCAUUAUCCCCAAAAACCUCCUUAAGUAUAUAAAAGGCAUAAAUUCUUAUAAAAUUUGCACAAAAGGGAUACAAUCUUUAGGACAAAGGAGAAUAACAUAAGAAAAAGAACAAUGUCCCACGCAGGGGGUAGUAGCUCCUAGAUCGGCCUUCGUCUUCUUAGCUUUGUCCAUUUCAUGUCAUAUUCGACAUAUGUUGAUGAUGAAGUGAUUCCUGUAUAACUGUGUUCUAUACUCAUAAGUCAUUAUUCUGGGAAAUCAUGCAAUCGUCCAAAUCGAUCAAUCAUCAACCUCUUUCUUGGCUCGCUUUAAUUUUUCCCUCAAUUGAUGGAUGAUUGAGUCAUCUUACAAGAAAGCAAGCAAAGUAAGCCUUUUCCUUACUCCCAAAGAAUAAUGGAUUGUAUUAAAUAAGAUAUAUUUCUUCAACACAAAAAUAUGAUUCGUCUUUAAUUGACUCAUGGCCAAUAGAUACAGGGUAGGUUUUCUAAUGGGCCUAAUACCCCCUCGGGUAUUAGGUCUUCCUAGGUUCAUGCCUAAAAAGAGGAUUUUGGUUUAGCUCUAUGCUGGAUGUCUAUAACGUGUUUGGACAAAGGUUUCCAAGGGGACAACUUGGGUUUGAAAAUACAAACAACCUUCGACCGCCUAACGUGUCAGUAGAUCGUCGUAUUCCCAACACUUGAUUUGGAGUUGAUCAACAGGGGUCGAAGACAUCCACAAAACCCCAAAACAAUUUAAUAAUAAUCAUGCGAGAUUAUGCCAUGAAAUGCAAUAGUUAAAUUUCCCAGCAUUUAAACAUACAAACAUAUAAACAGUUUAAUAAUUAGUCAAAGAAGCUAAUUCAAAUAUUUGGUUAGAACCUAGUUAAAGUUCCCCAGCAGAGUCGUCAUUUUUGUUUUGCCUUUUUUUGAUUUCGAAAGGUUGGAAAAUAUUUAGAUUCGACUAUUUAAACCAUUUCAAAACUUUAAGAAAAAUUUUAAAAUAAUUUGAGAAAUUACAGAGUCAACAUUUGAUUUUUGAGAAAAUGUCAAGAAAAACUAAAAAUAUGACUAAAAAGAUUCAAAACAGAAAAAAACUUAUAAGUUUAGAAAUUUUGAGAAAGUGUUUCCAAUUAAUACUCUUGGAACGUUGUUAACACACCAAGAGUAUUCGCUAACUUGCGGUUAUCUAGACUAUUUGCAAACAACUUUUGACUAAUUUUAAAAGAAAAAGUUGAUUUUUGAAAAGAAAUUAAUUAAGACAAAAUUUUGUUUUCAAGAUUUGUGCAAAAUAAGGUUUGACGACUUAGCGGGAAUUUUACUAAGCGAGAAUUUUUAACUAAGUCUAAGAAAACUAAAAAUAAUUAGCAUAUAAAGGUGGAAGGGAAGACUAAAAAACUUAGGCCAUUGGGCCCAACUCCACAAACCCUUGUUGACACCUAAUUUUUUUCCUCCACGAUCAAGUUUAAUUUUGAGUUUCUUUCAUCUUAAAUAAAAUUACAAUAUUUACUUUAUCUGAGUAAUAAUAAUAAUAUAGUAAUAAAAAUUUCAAAAUAUUUAUGUACGUAAUUUUGUCAUUUUGAGUAACGAUUAUAAAUUUUCAUAUUUUACGAGAUUGUAUAAUUUUGUUACUUAAAUAAUUAUUUUUAUGAAAAUUGAAUUUUAAUCGAGAACUAUCUUGGAAAUUAAUUUAAAUGGGCAAAGUAUUGAUUUAAAUAUAAUUUAUUCUCAAAAAUAAUUUAUUUGAAAAAAUAUAUGUUUGAUUUUACUAAACAAGAAACUCGGGUUUAAAUUAGUUGAUAAUUCAUACAAUUUAGUAAUUUUAUUAAAUUUGAUUUUAAUUGAAAUCAACUUGGCCGUAAUUGCAAUGCAAUUGGCCAAUUGUUUUCAACAUGGUUAAAAUUUAAACAAAAUUGACUAAAAUUCUGACCUAGGACUAUUUAUUGAAUAAUCUAACUCCUAAAACUAGCCCAUCCCUUUUAAUUUUCAGCCCAGACUGCCAACCCCUUUUUUCCUUUUUAAUUAAUUGGGCCUCCAUCCUAAAAUUUGCACUCGGCCCAACAGCUCCACUCCCCUUCUUUUACCCCAAUCCACCUAACAACAACACUAUCAGCCAUUGGCCCAAAAAAAUUAUAACCUAACCCGGCCCAUACACCUUUUUUAAACCCAUUCUCCUUACAAAAUAACUACAGCCAAAAAAAGCAACAAUUUCAACGCAAAACACCAACCAAAAUCCACCAACCGACCCCUAUUCGUAUAACACUGUACAAUAUCAACAACGACUAUUUCAUCAACCACCAAUAAUGACUUCAACAAGCAGACGAAAUUUUCAACCUUCAACAAUACAACAUUGGCAAAAAACAGCUCAUCAACCUCAUCUCAAUUUUUCAAAUUCAAAUCUCAAUUCGUUUUCCCUUUUUAACCCUCUGCUUUCCCCAAAAAUAACCCCAAAUUCUUCGAUAAAUACUCACCUAUGUAGAGAGAAAAGGAGGAGGAUUUUUGGGAAAAAAUUUGAGAAUUCGAGAGGCACGUGCUUCUAAUCCUACAUAACCAAAAAUUCUCGAAGAAACGGACUGAAGAGUUCGAUUUCAACAAAAAUUAAACUCCAAAUUUAGUGUUGAAAGUUUCUUCGUCAAGGCUCGUCGUCGAGUUCGCUGCUUUUUCGGUGAACCCUUCUCUUUUGACUUUCAUCACUGUUUGUAUCAUAGUAUUUUUUUCUUUUCUUUUUUUCGUGUAAUAUGGUCACUAUGUUGUUGUUGUUGGAAUCUCACUAAGUGAGAAUGUUCGAAUUUGUUGCUGUAGAAAUUUAAGAUUUUACUGUGUAUUCAACCUCACUUUAUUUGAAAACUAAAUGGUAUAAAUUGAUAUUUGAUAAGUACUUUAUAAAUAUUUAUAAUGAAAUUUAGUGAAAGAAUCCAAUCGAAAAUGUUUAGGUUACUGUUUUGUUAUUAGAAUUAUGAUUUUGUUUAAUUUGUGUUGAUAAUUCGAGAGGUACGAGUAAAUUUUUAGCAAUUUAGUUAAAGGGUGAAAAUUGGAGGUUCUUGUAAUGUUUUAUUGUGAUUGAGCAGUGUAAUUUGUUAACUCAAGAAUAUAAAUUGCUCCCGAGAACUAAGGGAAAAAAUUUAGCUUUAGGAUAUAUAGAAAAACACGAAUUCAUGCUAUUUCGUCUGAAUAUAUGUAGUAAUUGUUAUUUGAGAAUCAUGUUCACUUGCUUAGAUUUAUUUUGUACAUCUGUAUACCUCCCUCCCUCGUACUACUAUUUUGAUAUAUGCUAUGAGUUUAAUAACAUAUUCAAUAUACUCUCACCAAUUAAACCAUGUUUUAUGAUGUUUUUAGUAUGAUAAUGAUGAUUGAUUUGUUGGUAAGCUGCAAGCAGGUAAUAUAUAUAUAUAUACACACAAGUUGUAGUUUACUUGAAUUUUUGGGCUCUCCACAACUGUGUCUUGAUUGUUUGACUAACACGAUUCUCUUCUUUUUUUUUUUAAAUAAAAAAAAUAAAUAAUUUUAUAUAUUUGGUGGCUGCAAGUGGAAAGUACUUAAUACAAAAGAUUUAGGUACUUUAUAGGCACCCUUGUCAUAUUGAGUGUUUACAAAUGAUUGUUUUGAUUUGAUUAGUUUAUAAUCAAUUGAUAUAUAAUUCUUUACCUUUUUAUAUGCAUGAACCCC